AGUAACCUAGCAAGUGCAUGGCUGAUUAUUCACUUCUUUAGGCAAAGCUUGUUUAUUACAACAUAUUUUAUAUUUUCUAAAUUGUUUCUUUGACAGAUUUCACAAUCAUCUCAAUUUGAACACUAUCUAGUGAGAAAACUCUGCAUCAUUGCGUUAAUUUGUGCGAAGACUACGGAAAAUUUUCUUCAUAACUUACUCUUUGUAUUAUGCUUUUGCAGCUUCUACUUCUUGUGCUGUUGCUGCCUACUGCAAGACUGCUUCGGUGGUCCUCCCCAGCCGGCUGGGCCACCUGGGCCACCUGGGCCUCCUCCCCCACCCCCUUCUGCACCUCCUCCGCUAGCACCUGGGCCUCCUCUUCCGCCUGGUCCGCCUCUGGGACCUUUUUUCGGUCCACCAGACCCACCAGGUUCUCCUGGACCACCUGGUUUCCCACCAGGACCUCCUGGCCCACCUGGUGGCCCACCAGGACCUCCUGGCCCACCUGGUGGCCCACCAGGACCUCCUGGCCCACCUGGAUGGUGACAGGGGCCCUCAACUUCUAACCCAUAUUUCACCUUAUUUGCUAGAGAUGUGUGUAUUGAGAGUUGAACCAGUUUUCUUGGGUUUCUCUCUUUCUAUUAAUGUCCUCUAAUUUUAUAUAUCAUUUUAUGAAUCAUGUAAAAGUUUACUGUUUGAAAAAUAUGGAUGAAUUGAGAGCCUAAAAAAUUGGGUUUCAUGGAGAAUAUAUUUUGGGGAAAAUAAUCCUCAAAUCAUGCACUAAAAUAAUAACUUUCUAAGAAUACCCUUCAAUCCGUUGAAAGUGGGUUGCCACCUAUACAAGGCAAUUUGACAAUCAUACUUAAUUAGACCUCGCUUAUAUAAUUGUCACAUCACUCAAUACUACUUUAAUCUCUAUUUCAAACAUGUUAAUAAUAAUAUUAUUUUUAUCUAAAAGUAAUAAUGUUAGUAACUAAAAGUAUAAUCGUAGAUAACGUGGAUAUUAUUUUCACCAAAAACUAAAAGUAACCAUGUAAGUGACUAAAAGUACUAUUAUAGAUAACAUUAUAUAUUAACUUAUUUAGUUUUUUAUUAUCAUUGUUAUGAUUUUGACAUUGAUCAUGAAAUAAUAUGCCAAAAAAAUGCACAUAAUGUACUUUAUAAAAACAUUAUUUAUUAAAAAAAUAAAAACAAUUUUAAUGGUUUAAAAUUUUAAUUAAACAAAAAUGUGUGUGUGUUACAUUUUUAAUUAAAAAAAAUUAGUUUUUCUUUUUUAUUCUUUUUAAAUAUCAUAUAAUAUGAUGAGAAUUGUGAAUUUUAUAUUAAAAAAUUUAAUGCAAAUUGUGGACCCGCGUUUUUCACAUGCAUCCCUACUUGAAUGGUGACUCUCUUAUUAUUUAUUUGAUAAAAAUUUGAUUUUUUGAAAAAGACUUGGAGUCGCCAUUUAUUUUCGUUUUAUUUUUUUAAAGAGAAAACAAAAUAAGAAAGAAAACUUUGUGUGACUCCUUAUUUGGAAAAAAACAUGUAUGUAAAAACCAAAUUUGGAUUUGGAGGUCAAGUUAUCUAUUGGGAAUGUACGAUUGUGAGCCGUAGCACCCCUCUAAGCCAUAUACAUAUGGUUUCUAUUAAACGAAUUAAAAAAAUUGUGACAAUUAAUUAAUUAAUCAUGGACACCAAGAUUUAAGGAAUGAAACAAUAUAGACAAAGAUGAUGAUAAAAUAAAAUUACAAGAAUGUACAAAACAAAUAAUAAUAGAAUUAUGCAAAUUGAUUUAUUGAACUAAUUAGAAAAAAAGAUAUUUGAAAGAAUUAGUUUUCAAGAAAUUUCAAAUGAUUUUAUUAAAAACAAUUUUGAAUUAGUGAUUUCAAUUUAUUUAUUUACAAAAAAGAAGUUUCAAUUUAUUUUCAAUUAAUGAUUUGAUUCAAUUUCAUUUGUAUUUAAUUAAAAAAAAAUUAUUUACAAUUAUCAAAAUAAUUUAUUACAAAAUUUCAAUUUGGUAACAAAAAUUAUUUUUACUUGCUUUUUACCAUAAAUGAAUGAAUUUUUACAAUUUUAUUUAAAAAAGUAUUUUGAUUUAUUUUCAUUUAAGAAAAGUAACUUAUACAAAUUAUUAAAAUAUAUAUAUAUAACUUUAUUUGCAAAAUAAUUUUUAAUUAAAAAAAGACUUUUGUAGCUUUAUUUACAAAAAUAUUAAAAUUCAAUCCAACUUUAUUAAUAAUAAAAAAUUAUUUAAUAGAAAAGAGAAUUUUUACAAAAUUAUUUAGAAAAAUGUAUUAAUCCCUAUUUUAUUUAUAAAAAAAAUUAUUAUGGUUUUAUUAAAUAAAAAAAAAGAUUAAUUGAAGAAGAGAUUUUAUCUUUAUUUGAUUUAAAAGAAAAAAUUUUCAAUUUUAUUAGAACUAAAAAACAAUAAUAAUAAUAAAUAAAUAAAAAUAAAUGAAUGAAUAAAUAAAACUUUGAUUCUCUUUCAGAUUUGGAUUUUAUAAAUAAAUAAAUAAGAGUUUAUCCGAAUUUAUUUAAAGAAAACCAAUUUUUCAUGUUUUAUUCACCAAAAGGUGUUUUAAACCUUUAUUUUAUUUUAUUUUAUUUUUUGGAAAAAAAAAUCUUUACAAUUUUGACAUAAAAUAAAUUUUGACUUAGUUAUUAUUAUUAUUAUUUAUUAUUAUUUUUUUUUAUUUUUUAAAAAACAUAACCUUAUCUACAAAGAAGAAUUUUCCUUAACUUUACUAAAGAGGGAAUUUUAUUUAUUUUUUAUUUAAAAAAAAACAUUUUCACAAUUUUAUUUACAAAAGAAUUCUAUUCCAAUUAUGUUUACUUACAAAAGAUAUCUUGAUCAUUUAAAUAAAAAAAAAAAAAAAAAAAUUCUUAAUUUUGUGAAAAAAUAAAAAAAAGUUUUUGAAAGGAAUGAUUUCAAUUCUUUGUAUCAUUGUAUUAAAAAAAAAAGGUUUGAAUUUUAUUAUUAAAAGAAUAAUUGAAGUUUGUAUAUAAAAAGAGUGAUUUAAAUUUCCUAAAAUACAAGAUUUCAAUUUCGUUAAAAGAAAAAAAAAAAUAAUAAAAGAAGAUAUUUGUUGAAAGUAAAAAAGGCCACUUUUUAAGGAAUAGGAUUUCAAAAUUGCAAAGACAAAAAAAAAAUAAAAAAGUUUAUUUGAUAAGAAUUGCUUGGAUUUUAUAAAUAAAAAAGUAUUCAUUUAUUUAUUUUAUUAGGAAAAUGACUUAAAAAAUUUAUUAUUAGAAAAAUGAUAUCAUAUUUUAACCAAAUCUUCAGCUUUAUAAUAAAAUAUUAAAAAAGUAAUAAUAAUCUCAAAUAUAAUAAUAAAAAAUUAUUUUUAUAACAAUAUAAAAUAUAAAAUUAAAUAAAUGAAUGAAUACAAUGUGCACACUAAUAAUAAAAUCCAUGCUUACCAAAUAAACACACAAAAAUAAAUAAGAAGAAAAGUAAGAUAUUUACAGGGAUAUGUGCACAAAUUGACGAAUAUAAAUAUUAAAAAAAAUCGAUAUUUGCAUCAUUGAUAAACCAAAAAAAAAAAAAACUAUAUAUACAAAAAUAACAUAUAGAAUAAAACCAAUAUAUACAAAAAUAAAUAAAUAAAUAGGAGGAUAUGGAUAAACAUACAACUUUAUAGUGCAAUGCAAUCUCAUUAGCAUUGGCUCUCCAUAACUUCCCAAACAAAGCUCAAAAAAUACAAACCAAAAUCUCUCAACCUCACUACACAGACACUAAAAAAAAUACCAAGAAAUCGAGAGAAUUUAGAGUCAUCUCCCCCCUCUCUUCUCAAGCUGCCAGUGAUCCUUUUAUCCCAAAUUCGGUUCUGCCAACUUUUUGCCCAUGCCCAUAUCCUGCUUCAACCACCCCAAUUGCUCUCAUUUUGCUCUUCUGCUCUCAACACAAUGCUAAAACAUAAAGAAAUACAAGAAAUGUCACAGCCCAUUGAAAAUAUUUUAAUCAAGCCCAAAUCACAUAAGUUAGAAACCUAAAUCAAUAACUAUGCAAGCCCAACAUCUCAAAUAAAAAAAUCAAGUCCAAUUAAGAAAACAAGCCCAACUUAAAAAUGCAAUCUAAAUACCAACAAAACCAGAACCCAAAUAAUAUUGAAAGUAGGUCUGAACCUGAAUUCAACCCCAAAACAGUUACUAUGUAAACCAAGAUGAAAAUUUUCUUUUUACCAUUAAUCCCACCUUGAAACCAAACAACGAUGGUAGAAAGGAUGACAAUAGAGUUGAGCGGCAUGACGACCAUGAGUCACUCGGCUGGAAGCAGAAAUGGAUGAACGCUCUUUUGCGUCAACCAUGGAUACAAUUUUUCAUAUUAGAAAAUCUGAGAGAAUGAAAGCGAAAAGAUGUAGGGAAAAUAGAGAGAGAGAGAGAAGUGUGGUUGGAAGAGAUUGUCGAUUGGCAGUGGCGCCGCCGAUAGUGGUGCCGCUGGUUGUGGUGUCGCUAGCAGUGAGAGGGGUAGUGUCGUGGGUAUGAAAAUGGGAAGGAAGGGAAAAGAAAAUGUAAAGAAAAAAAGAAAAUAGAAGAAAAAUGAAAGAGAAGACUGAGAGGCGGGUAUGAGAAAAAUCGGAUAUAAAUGAGAAGGUUAAAGUUUUGUUUUGAAAUGAAUGAUGGGGAUUUGAUGAAAAAAGAAUAAGAAAGACUCAGAUUAAAUCUCUAACAAAAAUUGGAUUUAAAAGUUAAAAGAAAUAAACCUAAUAAUCAUUGACCAAAAGUCUUAAGAUAAAUAAUAUGUAUAUAUAUAUAAACAAAAAAUAAAAAUAAAAAUAAAAAUAAAAGAGUUUAAGACAAAUUUUGGGGUCUACAAAUAUAUCCAUCUUUGGUAGAGUUCUCGAGUGUAAGGAAUAUGAAUGAUGAAGUGGAAUGAAAGUGUGAACAAUGAGUGGAAUGAAGUGAACUCUACUUAAGAACAAGAGAGACCUCAAAAGUGUCUUAGUGUAACACGAUGCCCUCAAACAAAAACAAAAACAAAGGGGCUCUAAAACCCUAAAAAGAGGGCAAGAACGUAUCAAGCAAGAAAAUAAAACUCCUAUGAUGCCUCUAAAGUUACACUGUGAUCCAAACUAUCCCUGAAAAGUCUCCAAAGUAACUCGAAAAUCAAUAUCGAAGUUGAGUAGCAGUCAAACCACCAAAAAGUAUAGGAAUAAGUACAAAGGGAAAAACCAUACAUCUAUUAUACGAAAACAGGAUGAAAUAUGAAGUUGCGAGGACAAAGUGUGCAAAGACUAAAGUCACCUAAAUCUAAAGGAAAGGAUGAGACGCAGUCACCAUGAUCGAAAACACUUAAAAUAGAUGAGAAGGAAUGGGAUGCGGUCGCAAUAACCGAAAUCACUUAAAGUUUUGCUUUGUUUGGUGACAGCCCACCUUUAUGGUCGAAAGGUAAUCUUGAAAGAAUGCCUAAAAUUAUUAUUUUAAUGCAUGAUUUAUGGGUUAUUUUUCCUUACUCUCCAUGAUUUUCUUGUUUUUAGAUUCUCAAUCGGUUCAUAUUUUUCAAAUUGGUGACAGCCCACCUUUAUGGCCAGAAGAUAGUAUUGAAAAAAUGCCUAAAAUUAUUAUUUUAAUGCUAUGGGUUACUUUUUCUUACUCUCCAUGAUUUUCUCAUUUUUAGAUUCUUAAUUGAUUCAUAUUUUUCAAAUUAUAGACCUUUACAUGAUUAUCCUUUAAUUUUAAAGAUAUAUAGUAUUUUAUCAAAGGUUAUUUUAUUGUAACAAUCGAGCGAAGGCACACGUCUUUUUAAUUUUAUAGAAAAUAAUAUUAAAUAUCAAUGAGGAAACUUAAAGGCAAAGGAACAUCACAUGAGCCACAGCGCAUUGCUAAAACAUUAUCCAUAGUCUAUAGACUACAUCAUUUGUCUUCACUUCAAUUCUCUAAACUUGUGAAGCAAGUAUCUAAAAAUAGGCCACUAUUUCUUGCCUUGUAUGAGAGUUGAAAGUGGUCUUUGAAGAUAACAUCUUGUAUCAUUCAAAAAUUAAAAGAGAGAGGGAGGGAAGGAGAAGGAGGGAAAGGGAGGGAGGCACGGUAGACUAUUGGAUGAUGGGUAUGGAAAGAGUCCUUCUUGCAGCCACAUUUAAAAAAUGAUUUUCGGUCUAAUUCAGGUGGCCAAUGGAUGGCCUUGGAUUUCUCAUCUUGAUAAUUAAAAUUUGACAAGAGGCCUGAGGGGCAUGAGAAAAGACACGUAUAUGUAUAGUUAUGAGGUGACACAAAUAUGUUAAAAUAUAUGGGGGUGGUUUGGCCUGGCUAGGUGGAUGAAGUGGCACCUUUUUCCACAAGCCUCAGCAAUACAGAAUGAUUGAGAGGUGACGGCCACAUGUGGUCAUGGUGGAGCCACAAAUAAUUGAAAAUGGGUAUUAUCCAUAUCCAUUCACCGCCAAGUAUGGAACUGGACGGUUGCCCACCCUCUCUUUUGCCUUAUGCCAAAGCAAUCCGGCAGGCACUGAACAAAAUCUUAAAUCACAAUACCAUAUUCCUAUACGUGUCAAUUGCCUAUUCCAAACAACUCAACCAUUGAACAGGUAUAGAAUUAGGCACGUCUGCGCUGUGCUUCUUCAGGGAACCCAUGUCCAAAAACAAGGAAACAAAACAUUAAAGAAGCCCACUGCUGCCUCAAUGCUUGGGUCUAUAGUUUCUCUGGCUUUUCUUUCCUACUUUGGCAUUUCCUUUGUUUGGGGAAUCACACAACCAUACCUUAUUAAAAAUAAAACAAAAUUUUUAAGAACAGAAAGAUUGCCUUUUCAUCACAAGUGUAAAAUGAAAAAGUAAUCCCUAAUACAUAAAGAAUAAUUUCUAUAUACUUAUAAAAAUAUCCUUAUUUAUUAAAUUGUUUUAAGGUUAAAAAGAAGUUAAUCAUAGUUUUAGAAAAAACUCUAACCCGUUUGAUCAUGAAUCCCGAUAUUGUUUCUGAUCUAUAUAACAUUUGAAACUUUUUAUCAUUAAAAUAUUAAAACAAAAUUAAACCAUUUUCGAAAAUUAUUACAAGUUGAACACAUUUUAUGUGUUUUUUUAAAAAAUAUUAUAAAUAAUUUUUAAAAUUUUAUUAAAUACCCAUCUUUUAAAAAAAAUAUUUUUUAAAAUAACUGUUAACCAUAUUUUUAGAAUGAUAGUAUAAUUCUCAUUUCAAAAAAUCUAAGCCCAAUUGAAAAAAUAAAUCCCUAGGAUGAUUUCGGCACACUCGAACAAGAUUUACAAUUACAAAGUGAAUUUUGAAAUUGGGUGAUGAAACACCUUUUAUUUUAUAUAUAUAUAUAUAUAUAUAUAUAUAUAUAUAUAUAUAAAGCUCGAUCCAUAUCCUAAUUUCUAGUAAAUUUUAAUUUCACAAUACGCACAAAAAAGAGGGGCAUUUUUUGAUAGAAUCAAAUCAUUAAAAGGCACCAGUGAUGCGUUGGAUGGUGAAGUUUUUGUUUAGAUCCCCAUACACAUGGGCCUCUAUCCAUUUUGAACACGCACCGCCAAUCAAGAUCCACCUGGACGUGAGUCAGCAGGCUUCUACAGGCAGGAUGACUAAGCGCCACGUGUGAAGCCAAUCCAGAACAUCAUCAUUUACAACUUGUGAAAUAAAUGGUGGCUAAGACUCGGUUUGGAAUCUCACUUUCCACCUCAUCAAAUACACCACGUCUCUUCGCACCCACAGAGAGACCCUGUGGUCGGCCCAUUCUUAUGAAUACCUGACCCACUUGUCUAGGAAAAUGUUUUUCCUACCAAAUUUGACUAAUAUUAUUAUAAUUUUAAAUUAAAAAUUUUUAAAAAUGUUUUUGAAUAAUUUAUUAAUUCAAUUUUAAUAAUUUAUUUAAUAUUUAAAAACUGAAAAGAAUUCCACAAUUUUGACUAUUAAUAAAUUGAGAUAAUUAUUUAUUUAUUAGUGAAUAUUUAAUAAAUACUAUAUAUUUUAACUAGUUUUAAAAAUAAGGUAACAGAAAACGAAACCUAGUUCUAUAAUUUUGUUUAAAAUUAAUAAAAAAAGAAAAAAAAAAUACUUUUGAUAGAAGAAUUUUAUACUUUCGAACAGGACACGCGGCGGAUCUUAAAGGACUUUUUUUUUCCCAAAAUGCCCCUCUUGUGUCGAUCCUUCUGUAUAUAACUUACGGGGCUCCGACUCUCCUGUCUUCACAUUCCGAUUUUCUCUCCUACGUUUUUCCCUCAUUUUCUUCCACGACUAGCAUUCCUGCAAAAUUUCAUUCCUUGGGAAUUUCUGUUUUGGUUUUCAUCUUCUCGUUUAUUUGAUCGAGAAGUGAGAUUUUGGGGUUUGAAAAGUUAGGUUUUGAGGUAUGGAGGCUUUGGUGAUUGGGACUUCUCAGGCUCAGAUCGGGAGAGCACGUUUGGCUUACAGGAAGCUAGGAUUUUAUAAUCCGGCGGCUCAGGGUUUCUCUCGGACGACUAGGAUCUGUUUUGAUCAUUCCCAGAGAUGGAGAACGGAUGGUGUUCGACUUAGUUUGAACGCUGUCCAUUCGGAAGUUCUCCGAUCUGAGAAAGUUUCCGGCGAUGUGUCUACUUCUGCUAGAAGAUCCAAGCCAGUAAGUUCGUUUUUGUUUUUCUGUUUUUAGGAACUUUUGUUUGGUUGCUGGGAAACGGAAGAAAAAAGAAAAAAAAAAUGAUUUUUAUGUGGUCUGUUAUUUGUUUGGGCUCGAUCACUCGAGGUUUUUUUUCUCUUCGAGAAUGAAAAUUUUAUUUGUAUUCAAAUUUGCAAACAGAACAUCAAGUCUUGAGGUUCGCUUUGAAAUUUAUAUCUUCUUUUGCAACUUUCUUCCAGAAAUUGCUUGCUUUUCUCCGCUGAUUAUCCCUUUACAUCUGUUUGGUGGUCAUUAAGAUCGAGGGAAAUGAAAAAUAACAUUUGGAAUUGUUUUUGUUUCAGAAAUGGAAAAGGUCGUGUAUUUGACUUGAUUUGGCUUGAAAUUUAAGAAUUUUCAGUUCUUUAAUUUCCCUUUUUUCCUCAGCAACCAACCUAGGUGUGGACGCUAUGUGUACCCUUCUUUAGUUUAUUUGCAUGACAGUAAAGGACUCCUCUGGUAUUUUGAAUUUAAAUGGGAAGUAUAAACAAAGGUCCUUAUUAUUUGGAGAUAUAGCUCUGAGUUGAAACUGUUUAAAUUUUCUACUAUAUUUUCCCAAUUUUCUCGGCAAUCAAACUUAGGAUAAGAUGAUAACCCUUUACCAUGAGAGAGACUUGCAAAGUUAUCAUUUAUAAUUGUCCUAUAUACUCUGUUGUCAUAAGAUGUCCACAACUUGUGUUAUUUUGACAUGAUCUAUCUGAUCUGUCUAAACCAGUCCCACCUUAGUAAUUGUUAGAUAAGGGCACUGUUAGAAACCAUAUCUCUAUAUGGAACCCUGUUUAAAUUUUCUACUAUAUUUUCCCAAUUUUCUCGGCAAUCAAACUUAGGAUAAAAUUUUAACCCUUUACCAUGAGAGAGACUUGCAAGGUUAUCAUUUAUAAUUGUCCUAUAUCUCUGUUGUCAUAAAAUGUCCACAACUUGUGUUAUUUUGACAUGAUCUAUCUGAUCUGUCUAAACCAGUCCCACCUUAGUAAUUGUUAGAUAAGGGCACUGUUAGAAACCUUAUCUCUAUAUGGAACCCUGUAUAUCGGAAAGAUGCCUCAACUUUCUUAUUGAAAGUAAAAGAGAACAAUUUUGCUUUUUGGAUGGUUCAAACUAUUAAAGUUUCUUGCUUUUCUAUAAUUCAAGCUAAUCAUCUUUCUCCUGUUAAAAUCUGAUUAUGCUGGUAUUAUCAUAUUGUUCUGUUGCUUUUAUUGUUUCAGGUUGAUGGUGUAAGAUUAUAUGUUGGCCUGCCCCUGGAUAUAGUAUCCGACUGCAAUACACUAAAUCAGGUGAAAGCAGUUUCAGCUGGAUUGAAGGCUCUAAAGCUAAUGGGGGUGGAUGGUGUUGAGCUCCCAGUCUGGUGGGGAAUAGCUGAGAAGGAAGCCAUGGGAAAAUAUGAUUGGUCUGGCUACCUUGCAGUUGCAGAGAUGGUUCAAAAAAUGGGUCUCAAGCUUCAUGUUUCACUGUGUUUCCAUGCAUCCAAACAACCAAAAGUCUCUCUUCCCCAGUGGGUAUCACAGAUUGGUGAAGUGCAGCCUGAUAUAUUCCAUACAGAUCGGUUGGGGCAGCAUUACAAGGAGUGCUUAUCUCUGGCUGUUGAUGAUCUUCCUGUUCUAGAUGGAAAGACACCAAUCCAAGUUUACCAUGACUUCUGUGAGAGUUUCAAGACUUCGUUCUCACAUUUCAUGGGCUCAACAAUCACAGUAAGAAUCUGGAUCCCACAACUCUAUUGUCAUAUAUUCCUGGUAUCUUAUUUGGGGUAAUGACACUUAAAGUGGAUUCUGGUAUUUUCUAUUUUGCAGGGCAUCUCAAUGGGUCUAGGCCCAGAUGGUGAGCUUCGAUAUCCUUCUCAUCACAGGGUAAGCAAAAGGGGUAAAGUCCCUGGGGUUGGAGAAUUUCAGUGUUAUGACAAAAACAUGCUCAGCCUUCUCAAGCAACAUGCUGAAGCAACUGGAAAUCCGUAUUGGGGUCUCGGUGGUCCUCAUGAUGCCCCCCAGUAUGAUGGGAUGCCAAACUCGAACAACUUCUUCAGGGAGCAUGGCGGAUCAUGGGAGACUCCAUAUGGUGAUUUCUUCCUUUCUUGGUACUCAAACCAGCUAAUAUCUCAUGGAAGUAGCCUCCUUUCCCUUGCUUCUACAGUUUUCUGCAACUCUCCCGUUGCAAUUUCUGGCAAGGUCCCAGUCGUUCAUUCAUGGUACAAAACCCGCUCGCACCCUUCUGAGCUAACAGCUGGCUUCUACAACACAGUUGACAAGGACGGCUAUGAAAGGAUUGCUGAAAUUUUUGCAAAAAAUUCAUGCAAAAUGAUCUUACCGGGAAUGGACCUGUCAGACGAUCACCAGCCGCAGGAGUCCCUCUCUAGCCCUGAAUUAUUACUCGCACAAAUCAAGUCUGCUUGCAGAAAGAGAGGAGUUCAGAUUUCUGGGCAAAACUCGUCUGUUUCAGGAGCACCUGGUGGUUUCGAACAGGUAAAGAAGAAUUUGCUGGGCGAGGAUGGAGUUGUGGACUUGUUCACUUAUCAGAGAAUGGGAGCCUAUUUCUUCUCCCCUGAGCAUUUUCCUUCAUUUACUGAGUUGGUUCGGAGCCUGAGUCAACCAGAGAUGCUCUGGGAUGACAUGCCUAACGAAGAGGAAGAAGUUGGUGAAUCAUUGCCGGUAGGAUCAAGUUCAGACAAGAAUCUCCAGAUGCAAGUGGCUUAGUAAGAAGUAGUAGUAAAACUGUAUCCAUGUGAAUAGGGCAUCAUAUUAAAUAGACCCAUUAUUAGAAGAGGUUGUAUUAGAUAUGAUAGCCAUACAAAUUCUAUGGAACCAUGUACUGAUUAUAUUUUCAAACAAAAGCUGAAUUAUAAGGAAGAAGUAUUGCUUGGCAUGUUCAGUCCCCAACACAAUCUUUAUUGCUUAAUUGCUUAAUUGCUACCCUGAAAUGACCGUCCAACCUUGAAAUUAUUUGAAUGCCCAACUCUAGAAAGUAGCUAUGCGGAAUUACCGUGAAGACAGACAAGGAAAGCCAUCAACACUAUGAAAUUGACAAUCCAACAAACUCUUUCAUCAGUGAAGUAAGCUCCAAUAGAAUUAACCUCGUAGUUCUUCUCUCGUUUCUCCAUUGCAUUCUGCAUUGGAUUUCUCGGUAUUCUUGAGUCACAAAAUUAUUUUUGCUAAAUGGAUGAAAAUAACAUUUACUGGUUUCCUGAAACUUAUCCAUUGGAGGGACCAGGCAUACGAUGACCUGAGUCCAUCGUGCAAUCGGGUAAACAUCCUCAGGCCGGCCAAUAGCUAAAUAACUUCUAAAACUUAUCCAUUGGAGGGACCAGGCAUACGAUGGCCUGAGUCCAUCGUGCAAUCGGGUAAACAUCCUCAGGCCGGCACAUAGCUAAAUAACUUCUACUGCUUUCCUGAAACUUAUCCAUUGGAGGGACCAGGCAUACGAUGGCCUGAGUCCAUCGUGCAAUCGGGUAAACAUCCUCAUCCUCAGGCCGGCACAUAGCUAAAUAACUUCUACUGCUUUCCUGAAACUUAUCCAUUGGAGGGACCAGGCAUACGAUGGCCUGAGUCCAUCGUGCAAUCGGGUAAACAUCCUCAGGCCGGCACAUAGCUAAAAAACUUCUACUGCUUUCCUGAAACUUAUCCAUUGGAGGGACCAGGCAUACGAUGACCUGAGUCCAUCGUGCAAUCGGGUAAACAUCCUGAGGCCGGCCAAUAGCUAAAUAACUUCUACUGGUUUCCUGAAACUUAUCCAUUGGAGGGACCAGGCAUACGAUGACCUGAGUCGAUCGUGCAAUCGGGUAAACAUCCUGAGGCCGGCCAAUAGCUAAAUAACUUCUACUGGUUUCCUGAAACUUAUCCAUUGGAGGGACCAGUCAUACGAUGACCUGAGUCCAUCGUGCAAUCGGGUAAACAUCCUCAGGCCGGCCAAUAGCUAAAUAACUUCUACUGGUUUCCUGAAACUUAUCCAUUGGAGGGACCAGGCAUACGAUGACCUGAGUCGAUCGGGUAAACAUCCUGAGGCCGGCCAAUAGCUAAAUAACUUCUACUGGUUUCCUGAAACUUAUCCAUUGGAGGGACCAGUCAUACGAUGACCUGAGUCCAUCGUGCAAUCGGGUAAACAUCCUCAGGCCGGCCAAUAGCUAGCAAACCCAAGUCUGUGGAACAGUGGAGAACCAACCCUAUCCACGAAGACCCCGGGUUAGAUGUGGCGGCUCACUGAUUGGCGUAUCACGCCACACAAGCCCGCUUGAGAAGACACUUGUUCCAUGAUGAAGCCGAGAUUAUGGAUUCCAUCCAUUCGGGCACAUGCCAGGAGUGUCUGGACGGAUUAGCAGGGUGCCGCUGCUAGAUGCCACCUAAACUCAGGGUGCCGCCCUCCUUCGUGGACUAAUACAAUGGGUCCGUCAAGUCUAACAUGAUAGGAUGACUCCUGGUUACCGUCCCUUCCCAACGUUUCCAAUUAUCCUUUGACCAUCGUCUGAGACAUGCCUGAGCAAUCAAUGACAAGCAAGGCAAGGUAUCCUAGGCGCCACUUGCAGAAACAAUGACAAUUAAGCUCUCUGCCCGAGAAUGUUGACCUUGCCCUUGCUACGCCAUCCAUACACAACAAAGCUAUCGAAGGUUAUGCAAGUAGACCCCAACCCGAGGGGCAAGUCCAUUCCUUUUAAGAGAAAAACCCUCCAUACUUCACCUUCUAACUCUCCUCGUUGCAGUGAUUUGUCUUUUUAUUAUGUCCCAUAAGAUAAGAUUAUUGGUCACACAAAUAGACACUCUUGGGAGUCUGGACAAACAAAAUCUUGUAUUAAAGUUGAGGAUUUACUCUGAUAUUAUUUGUGACGAUUAACUAUCUUAUAUUCUUAAAAUACGUCUACCUAGUUAAAUAAAACCUAUACAUAUAAUUUCAAAAACUUAUUCCCUUAAAUGCAUGUGUGAUUAAGAGAAAUAUCGAAAUAAAACCUAUAUAAAAUGUCAUGAAAUUAUUUCCUUAUUUGACGUGAGAUAUCGAAAUCAUCCUCCUAUAGACACAACAUCUUUACUGCAUGUGUCCUAUAGGAUUAUGGAGUUACUAAUAAACACCCUUUGAGGUUAGACGAAUAAAAUCUCAUUUUGAGGUUAAGGAUCGGUGUUGAUAGUAACAAUCCACUUCCUCCUAUGUACAAGUUAUUCACUUUAAGUAUAAAGGGCUUCCAUCGUUUUAAAAUACAUUUACUCGAUUAAAUAAAAUUUAUAUAUAUAAGGAACUUAUUCCUCUAAUCAAGUUGGUUUCAAAGCGAAUGAUGUUUACACAAAAGAGAGUGGAUCUUUAUACUAUUUUGGGUGUAAAGAAUCUCAUAUUAAGGUUGAGAAUUGAUAUUGAUAUCAUUUAUAAUAACUCACUUCCUCCCAUGUACAUAAUAUUUAUUCCAAGCCUAAAAAGUUUUGCGAACAUCAUUCCCUUAACCAGUAUGGCUUCAAAGCAAAUAAUAUUCAUACAAAUAAAUAAAUAAAAUAGCAUAUCCUUACACCUAGUAACGAAGAGUCUCAUUAACAUUUUGGAUCAAAAGACUAGUUCAAUCAACACUUUUUUUUUUCCACUUGUUUUUAAAAGAAUUGAUAUAGAUAGGCUCCAUAGUAAAUCCCAAUCUAAUCAGCCUUCGUCGACAUGGCAUCCACAUUGGUUGAGGGAUGUAAUUUUUUUGCAACAAGCAGAAAUUGCGGGUAACGUUUCUUUAAGUUAUGUUUGGUUCCUCAAAAGUACAAAGAAAAAUGAUUUUCUCAUGUUUGGUUAUCCUAUAAAAUAUUCCAAAGAAAAUUAAAUAUAAUUAAAAUUAGUUAGAAACUUAUGCAUUUUAAAAGUAUUUAAUCUUUAUAUUAAUGAAUUAAAAUAAAUAAAAUGAGUUUGAAGUAACAAAUAAAAAUAAUUUAUCAUCUUUAACUCUAUUUUUUAUUUUCCUUUACUUUUUACUUUUCCUCUCUAUUUUUUUUCCUUUGUAUUUUCACUCAAAUUUUUCAAGAACCAAACACAACCUUACCUUUUCAUUUUUUUAAAUUACAAAUUGAAAUAAAAACUUAGAAAAACUAAAAUAAAUACUAUUAUUUAUAUAUAUAUAUAUAUAUAUAUAUAUUAAAUUGAAUAAAGAUUUAAAAAAUAUACUUCUUUCAAUCUUGAAUUUUUUUCUUGAAAAUUAAUUAAUUAAAAAAAGUAAGAAACUAAUUUAUUUUUCUAUGCUUUUAUCCUUUUUUUACUAGGGAAAUAAUGUUCAAACUAGUGAAGAAAAAAGAUUAAACUUUAAGAUAAAAACCUACCUGACCCAUUUUUUGAAGUGGGGGGGGGUGGGGGGGCGGGAGAAUUUUCUUCUCCUUUUGCAUGACAUUUGUGGAAGAAGGGAGGGGGGACCUUCCCAUGCACGGGACAAACGGCAUAGGCAACUGGCCGAGGGCAGGGCUGCGGGGAAGCCAUGCUGGCUGACGGGAGGAAUAGGAGAGUGGGUAUAGCUGCAGAGAGAAAAAAGUGAGAGGGAGAGAGUUCUGGGGAGUUGGAGGGGAACGCACUCUGGAGGGGGCGGACGAGGAAAGAGGGAGCUAAGACCAUCUUCACCCUGAAAGUUCAGGUCUGGCCAUUUUCUUAAAUCCCAUUUUCAUUACGUUGUUCUUUCUUUUUUGUUGUUUUGCUUAGAUUGCACUUGAUUUCCCGGCAUGAACUGCCGAAGGGGGAAGGCAUGGAGGGACCACAAGAUGGUUUUAACCUCUAGGAAGUCAUGAGGGUGCUUUAACACACCCAUUCCUUCCCCUUGCUUGGUUAGCUGAUAUCUAGUUGGCUCUAUCCUCUUUCAAACCCCAUGCAUGGCUACCCCUGUAACCCCUCAAGCUCCUCUCCUUCUGUAAUGGCCGAAGGUUCACCUGGCGCCACCUGCAUGCCUUCUCCGCCGCCGUUGAAGCCAAAGGUUGCAUCUCCGCUCCUCUGCGUCCUCCUAGACAACCCCCGCGAUCGUCACCCUGCCCAUCAAGUCGCCCGCUGCCGGUCGUGGAGUCCCCCACCAUUCUCCUCAUCCAAGCCCAGCUUGGCCUCAUCGGACCUGUUCGCUGUGCUGUUGGCCCUGCGCCAGGCGUGACGCAACCCCGGAUCUCGUGCCCGUCGGCGCCCCAGUCACCUACACCGCCCACGGCUCAUCCGGCCGUGCUGAGAAUUCAGCCAUUGACGCCGCCCUCUCAUCAUGAUGAGAGACCCGCCACCCCCACCGCUCUGUCAUUCCCGCCUUCUACAUCGGCGGCGCUCGUGCCAGGGACCUGGCGAGCCCUGUAACCUCCCACUUCGACAGCCGCCCAGCUUUUCGUCCCGCCGGCAACAGGAAGCUCCGUCCGAGGGUGAUGCCCAGGCGAGGGGGGGGGGGAAUAAGUUUGUGAGGGGAAUGGGUGUUUUGGGCUUGCUCAUGACGGCAUUGGAUUUGGGCUUGGGUUGGAGCACCAGGCCCAAGUUUGUGAUGAAGAUGGUUGCCUUGGGCUUGCCCAUGGCAAGGAUAUUGGGCUUGAGCAGGAGCCCAGGCCCAAGGAUGUUGAUGGACUCCCCAUGCCAGCCACCCUCGUGGCCCAAGUCCAUGUUGAGCUAGCUCAUUUGGCUGCCUCAAUUCUAAAAAAAUCUCUAUACCUCUAAUCGAUAAAUUUACUACAUUCUAAACUUUACAUUUUAUUUUCAAAACUUAGGUCCUUAAGUAAUUUUUCAAAAAUCUCAUGUCUUAAUUUAAUUUUUCAAUAAUUCGUUUAAAUCUUAUUUUCAUCAAUUAGAAUUAUCAUCCCAUAUUUAUCUAGUUAUUUAAAGUCUAAUCCUUCAAAAAUCCCAUAUCUUAAUUUAUUUUUUCAACCCUAAAAAUUCUACAAUUCGUUUAAAUCUUAUUUUCAUCAAUUAGAAUUAUUAUCUCAUAUUCAUCUAUUUAUUUAAAGUCUAAUCCUUCCAAAAUUUCAUGUCUUAAUUUAAUUUUUUCCAUCCUAAAAAUUCUAAUCUUAUUUUCAUCAAUUAUAAUUAUUAUCUCAUAUUUAUCUAGUUAUUUAAAGUCUAAUCCUUCAAAAAUCCCAUAUCUUAAUUUAAUUUUUCAAUAAUUCUUUUAAAUCUUAUUUUCAUCAAUUAGAAUUAUUAUCUCAUAUUCAUCUAUUUAUUUAAAGUCUAAUCCUUCAAAAAUCUCAUGUCUUAAUUUAAUUUUUUUUCAUCCUAAAAAUUCUACAAUUCGUUUAAAUCUUAUUUUCAUCAAUUAUAAUUAUUAUCUCAUAUUUAUCUAGUUAUUUAAAGUCUAAUCCUUCAAAAAUCUCAUGUCUUAAUUUAAUUUUUUAAUAAUUCGUUUAAAUCUUAUUUUCAUCCAUUAGAAUUAUUAUCACAUAUUUAUCUAGUUAUUUAAAGUCUAAUCCUUCAAAAAAUCUCAUGUCUCAAUUUAAUUUUUCAAUAAUUCGUUCAAAUCUUAUUUUCAUCAAUUAGAAUUAUUAUCUCAUAUUUAUCUAGUUAUUUAAAGUCUAAUCCUUCAAAAAUCUCAUGUCUUAAUUUAAUUUUUCAAUAAUUUGUUCAAAUCUUAUUUUCAUUAAUAGAAUUAUUAUCCCAUAUUUAUCUAUUUAUUUAAAGUCUAAUCCUUCAAAAAUCUCAUGUCUUAAUUUAAUUUUUCAAUAAUUCGUUCAAAUCUUAUUUUCAUCAAUAGAAUUAUUAUCCCAUAUUUAUCUAGUUAUUUAAAGUCUAAUCCUUCAAAAAUCCCAUGUCUUAAUUUAACUUUUCAAUAAUUUGUUUAAAUCUUAUUUUCAUCAAUUAGAAUUAUUAUCACAUAUUUAUCUAGUUAUUUAAAGUUUAAUCCUUCAAAAAUCCUAUGUCUUAAUUUAAUUUUUCAAUCUUAAAAAUUUUACAAUUCGUUUAAAUCUUAUUUUCAUCAAUUAGAAUUAUUAUCUCAUAUUUAUCUAUUUAAUUAAAGUCUAAUCCUUCAAAAAUCUCAUCUCUUAAUUUAAUUUAUCAAUCCUAAAAAUUCUACAAUUCGUUUAAAUCUUAUUUUCAUCAAUUAAAAUUAUCAUCUCAUAUUUAUCUAUUUAUUUAAAGUCUAAUUCUUCAAAAAUCUCAUGUCUUAAUUUAAUUUUUCAAUCCUAAAAAUUCUAAAAUUCGUUUAAAUCUUAUUUUCAUCAAUUAGAAUUAUAAUCUCAUAUUUAUCUAUUUAUUUAAAGUUUAAUCCUUCAAAAAUCCAACGUCUUAAUUUAAUUUUCAAUUUCAAAAACUUCCACUACUCAUUUUCUAUUCUUUUAAAAUGUUAUUUCCAUUAAUUAGCAUUAUCAUUCCAUAUUUAUUUAUCUAUUCUAAUCGUUAAAGUUUAAUUCUCCAAAACCCAACUUCCAAAUCUAAUUUCCAAAUCUCAAAAGCUCCAUUGUUCAUAUACCGCUGUCUAAUUAUUAUUCUCGUUAUUAAUGUUAUCACAUCCAUUUAUUUAUUCAGUUAUCCAUAUACCUAAGAUCUUCUCUAAAUAAAUUUUCAAGCUUUCAAUCUCUAAAUUUAAAUCUCUCAUCCCUAAAAUUCCAUCUUUCGCAAUUAUUUACCUAAUCUUUAUUAUUUCACCAUCGUUAUUAUUCCAUUCAUUUACUUAUUCACUCAUUCACUUAUCCACUCAUUUAAAAUCCCAAACUCUCCAAUCAUUUUCAAAAUUCCAAUUUCGUUCAAAUUUAAUUUCUAAAAUUCUCGUUCUCACAUUUAAUCUCUGAAAGUCUGAUCUUCAAAUAAACUCUAAAACUCCAAUUUUCCAGUAAUCUUCGAGAUUCCAAUUUUUCAAAUAAAUUUCAAAAAUCUAAUUUUCUCUCAAAUAGUUUUAAUUCUACUCUGGUUUUCAAACGAUCUUAUGCUCCUCUUGAUUUCAAUAAACACAAAUAAAUUUUUCAUAAUUCCAGAAUAAUGGAGUCUGUAACAUUAAGUCAUGCAAAAUAAACGGGCUUUAGUGGGGGCUCAACAUGGGCAACUUUAUGAUUGAUUGAUUGAUUAUUUGAUUUGAUUAUCAUACAUGAUUGAUUUAUCCUACUCUCUAACAUGCAUGAGAUUAUUCCUAAAUUGUGCACUAACCCUCUCUAUUGAUAGCGCAUGGUGGCUCGUUGCCCAGGUAUGUACCUACUUUCCCUCUAAUCGUUGUCUAUACAUGUUCCGAUUCUUAUAUGUGCAUGAUCAUUCAAGAUAUUCAUUGAUUUACUCAUUAAUUGCCACAUCAGACUGUACAUUCCCGAUAAGUAACCUGACCCCCGAGCCCGAUCCGAUUUUUCGUAGAUCACCUUUUCCAAAAUAAGGAGUCACACUUAGGGUUUUCUUUCUUAUUUUGUUUACCCUUUUAAAAUAAAACAAAAAUAAGUGGUGACUUCAAAUCAUUUUUCUUAAUUAAUAAAUUUUUUUUUUUUUUAAAGAUAAAAAUCGAGCUCGCCAUCGAGUGGGAAACGCAUGAGCCGAAAUGCAGGGUCCACACUACCAUUUUUGUAAUCUUAAAAAAAAAAAUUACAUUGAAUGUCAAGUUAGAAACAUAGAUAAGAUUGAGAAAAAGGCAUAAGUUAAAAAAGGAAAAAAAAUCACAAAAUAAAAACCUAAUUUUAUAAAAACAAACUUAAAUUAUUUUUAAAAAUUUCUUAUUUUGUGAUUAUUUUUAUGUGAAUUUGUGGUAACACUUUUUCUUUGGUCCAAAACUGCGGGAAAAAGGUAGCAUCUACCGUGGGUCUGUAAAUUUUGCAUAAAUGAAAUGCUUCCCGAGCCUCCACAAAACACUAAACCUCCAAUGUAAAUCAUAGAAUGAAAUGUGGCCCCAAGGAAAAUUUAACUUGCAUUCCGGGGUCUGCAAAAGUAGCAACACAAUAAAGAGGUAGUUCUUUAUGAAAUAUGGUUGUUAUGUACAAAGAUGGAACACCACAUACAGCGCAUGGGCUAUCUUUCUUAAGUCCCCAACUUCUACUUCAAAUUUCAUGAAGCCUUCCCGCAUUAGGAGCACUAAAAAAUAAAAGUAAAGAUCAAAAUAGAAAAUGAAAACCUUGAAACAACCCACCAGCUUCUUCUCAUUUGAUGUGGGCAUUAGCAGGCCCAGCAAUUCAAUCAUAUCACCCAAACAGUAUUUGAGUAUUCAUUGCAUUGGCCCACUCCACUCUACAAUCACCAUACCUUCUGCUGUUCCACAAAAAAAUUGAAAGACUUAGUAAUGCCCAAAUUCAGGUGAUAGCAGACAUGUAAGCUUUUGAAAGGGAAUUUGAUUAAGGUUGGUUCUCUCAUUUCUCAGCUCUUAGUAAUAGUACGUUUGCCUAAUCACCCAUCUGAAAUUGAACUGAACCAUAUCGAUCGCUGUAGAUUGAUAUCAUUUUAGUGAAGUCCGGGUUCAUACCUUUAAUGUCAUGUGUCAUUCACAAGCAAUUUUGGUGUCAAAGCUGCUGAGGCAGAUUGCAAAUGCCUGGAAAGCAGAGAUUGGAUACCGGUAAUCCAUGGUAAAUAGAUCCUUCCCCACUUUUCCGAACUGGAGGAUGAUCUUCUCAUGUUGCUGGCCUGCAGGUCCAUCCUCUGGAGAAGCCACCAGCUGAAAGUUUUUCACUGAAGCAACUGUCACCCGUCCAUGGAAGUUCAAACACCAGCACUGGAGCUGCUCGUGCCACCUGGGAGCCUUGUUCUUCAACACCAGCGCUCCAUCCUUUUUAUCGGCUAAUGGUUCUGAUAAAGAAUUUUCCACACUGUGUGAUUUCGAGCGGAAAAAUGAGAAGGAUGGAAAGACAUCUGGGUUGCUGAGUCGAAUCUCUGUCUGUGUGGGGGUCACUCCCCCUGGUUCAAUAGCUGAGGCAGGGAUGGAAUCCAUGCUACACUGCAUUCUCCUUGGACCCCUGGUCGUUAUCCAAAGAAAAAAAAUUAUUAUUAGCUAGUUGGUUUUUGAAAGUUCUGGCACAGCUGCUGACACCACACCCACAUGGGAUGUCAGGUGGGAUAGCUACUGUAAAUAAGUGAAGCUAUUAAUGGAAUUUUUUAACAAGUGAUAUCUCUUGGAAAAUCAUCUAUAGGAAUAGGAAAGUUUCACAAAUCCCUUUGGAAAAAGGAUCUCCACAUAUAUGUAUUUAUUAACUUAUUUCAGACAUCAAACUCCAAAUUACUUGGCAUAAAUACUCACCUAGAACCCAGCACAUUCACUUCAUAUGAGAUGUGAGCUACUGGAUAGCUUCCAGCAGGGACUCUGGGUGAGACUUGUUUCAAACCCACCAGCCUAGUGGAGCGAUUUCGCAUAAUCUUGGCUCCAGAAUGAGGUGGCUGCCCAUCAUAGACUGUGAACUUGGUUCCUAGAAAAUUUGAUCUGGUCAAAGGAGAGAAAAAAAAGGGUGAACUUGGAGUCCAUGAUAGAACAAAAACUGGUCAUAUUUUAAGAAGUUAGAACACACCUCAAUUUUCCAAUAUAGGUGCUGCUCCCCUUUGACAUGUCAUCAGCAUACAGAGAAAUGAUAUAAUCUGUGCAGGUGGUACGUCUGUACUUACGCGCAGCCAAGAGGAACUUUCCAUCUUCAGUUAGUGCUGUUUCAGAGACCGGACAAAAGCAAAAGUGUCAAUAUUCAAAGCUCAGUUAAAGAGAACUUUAAAAAGGAAAGAAGGGCAUCUCUCCCCCAAAUGCUUUCCAAAAAUUUUGGAAAGCAGGAACUCUAGCAUUUAAUCAAAGCAAUUAGGCAUCCAAACUCGCCAAACACGGUCAGAUCAAUGCAAAUGUGAACAAUGAAAUUUUGGUGAACGCAUCCGAUAGGAAAAACAAAAACCCAUACUUAUACUGAGAAUGCCACUGCUCACCAUUAGUUAAACUGAGGUAAAGAUAAUACGUCUGAGCAGACCGAUUCCGUUUUAUAAAACACUUGAGUAGAGAUUCUCUUGGACCAGGCUGCAAAAUUAACCACAACUGUUACAUAGCGUACAGACAAUUCUGAAGGUUUAAGAAUUGCACACCCCAUAACUAAAUUCCUGAACCCAAAACCAGAAUUGGAAAACAAAAAUCCAAACAAAACAAUUGAAAGUGCUCUGAUCAAUCCACAACUUCUGCAUAACCCACCCUUAACUUGUAAACAUUACCAUAAAUCCUAUACAUAUCACAUCAUAUCUCAAGAACAGCUAAGCUUUCCGAACAGAGAGAGGGAGAGAGAGAGAGGGGAAGGAAGAGGGAGAGAAGGUAAAAAAAAAAAUCUUAUGAAACUAAGCCUUAAAGGCUCAUAGAAACAUUUAUCAAAGAAAUCAAACAACACUCCAGAAAAAUUAGCAAGCUGUUGAAGCCAAAGCUGUCCCCUGCACUCUACUACUAAUUUUAGCUUAAAAUUUCGAGCUAAUUUUCCGAAUUCCACAAUUGCUUGUGCCUUGAAACAAUCAAGGAUAUGCUAAAUCCGUUUGGUACAGAAACAAACUAAGAGAUUUCUGAUUUUUUCUGGGAUUUUUCCCUAAAACAUUCUCAAUAUUGAAAGAAAAAUGAAUCGGAGUUCAGCUCAAAAAAUUCACCCAUAAUUCACAAUUCCCGUAUCCAAAAAAGACAAGCCAAAACUCAUAUUCAAGUUCACAACUCGUUCUUCGAACAACCAGAAGGCAUAGAAAAAUUGAAGCAACAAUGAAUGAACAUCCAGAAACGAAUCAUAAAACACAAAAACCUGCUUGACCGAAAUCGGAAAGGUCAACGAGGCGGAGACUUCCGGCGUCUUGACGAGUUCCUGAGUGAUACGGCGCCAGCUCUUGCAGACUCCGGCGCAGGCGACCACAUUUUUCCGGGAAGGCCAGGUGGUGUCAGACGCCUCAAUUCUGAUAAGCACCUCUCUGAGCAGCUCCUCAGGCAUCUGAGACCAACAGCUCUGCUCCAACCCAUCAACCCACUCGUCUUGAACCACACGAUUCCACCUACCCCUCAUUUUCCUUCCCAAUUCUCAGACCCCAGAACCCAGCUUUAAUCCCAGAAACAAGAAAACCAUUCUUUUCUUCAAAGAUUGAGCUUAUGACACCAAAAUGUCUGUCGCAUGCUCGUAAGCACGAGAAAUUUUUUGGAGAAAGGUCUAAAGGGUUCCGGUAACCAUUAACAUCAGAUGAACAGCAAUUGCAAAUGAUAUGAGGAGAGAAAUUUCUGGGAUUGAGAAGAUAUUUGAGAGAGAGAUGUGGUGAGACUGUUAUCUUUUGAAUGCACUCGUUGAGGGAGGGUGGACCCGUUGGUUAGGUUUAAGGGUGGACCUGGUGGGUUAGGUUUAGUGCUCAACCAAAUUUAAUCUAUAUUUAAGUAUUUUCUUUUCUUUCCUUAUAUAUUUCACAAUUUUUAUCUCUUUUAAAAAAUAAAUAAAUCCAUUAAAAUUUUCAUUUUAGUGAUAUUGAGGGCAUGUUUGGUUGUUGUUUUUGAAAACUGUUUUUUGUGUUUAAAAAACAAAAUUGUGUUUGAAAACUAAAUUUUGAAAAACAAUUUUUGUUCUCAAAAAUAAAAAUAAAAAUGUAUAGUUGAGUUGAUAAAAAAGUUUUUUAUAAUAAGUAAAAUAAAAAAUAUGUUUAAAAAUUAUUUUUUUAAUUAAUAAAGUAUUUUUUUCCAUUAACUUGAUAUUAUAAAUAUAUAAAUAAAUUUCAUAUGCAUAAUCCAUUUAAAUUUAAAAAAAUUAUUCAAUUUUGAAAUUUUUACACCAAUUAUAAUUUUCUUAAACAAAUGAUGACUUUGUCACCGUGUGUAAGUAUAUUGAUUUCAAUCAUUUAAGGAAGAAGAAAUGAUUUGUGGAUGGGAAUGGUGAUUGGGUGGAGCUCAUCUUUGUGAAAACACAAAAAAAGAAAGCUAAGAAAACACAAAAAUAAGGAAAAUAAAAUACAAAAAACAAUCUAUUAUUUGAACCGUGACAAAAUAAUGAAAAUAUUUUUUUAUUUUUCUCAAAAGAAAAGGUUUUUGAAAAUAAAAAAUACAAAAAACAAAAAUACACCCUCUUCUCCAAAUAAGUUUUUGUGUUUUUUAUUUUCAAAAAUAAAAAACAAUUAUUGAAAAUAGGAACCAAACAAACCUAAGCAUUUGGGGUCGUUUUAUUACGCUUGGAAAAACACAUCAAGUAUUACAUCCAACAUCAAAAGACUCUAAAAUUUAUUUUCUUAAUUUUAAAAUUAUAUUAAUAAUAUAUGCGUCAAAUUUAUGAUUAAAUUUUUUUAAAAAAUGGAAAAUAAAAAUAAAUAGCGGAAUAGUGAUAAGACUUGUCUAACCCCAUUAAGUGAAUGAGCUGGAAAGCUACAGCACAAUAGAGGGGGCCACCUGAACCCGAGGCUUCGCAGCCCAUAUAAUUAUUAUUAGUAUUUUAUUUGUGGAUGUCCACUUCUCCACGCGGAUUGUCUGUGAAUUUUACAAAGCCAUUGAACGGGAAAUGCCAAAAAUUUAAGAAAGGAGAAGAGGGUAGUCACUGUUUGGCAUUAAGCAUAGGAUGAUGGAAGUUCUCUACUUUCUAGACACACCUCCUCUGGAAUUAACGCACGCCUUCCUAUUCUCUUGUCAAAUCUCCAUCCAUCGCUUAGCUGCGCCUUGUUCACUAUUUUAUUCUCCGUUUGGGACAAAAAAAAGGGUUUCCUUCUGUAAUUGCUAUGGGUGGUGGAAAGCUCAUAAAAUGAAUGAAGGAUAGCUUCAAUAAGAAAGAACUUAAAAAUGGGAGAUGUCGGGUUUUGUGGAGCCUAAUUUUGUUUGAUUCGAUUUGACUAUCCAACCCAAAUAAUAUUGCAUGAUUUUUUUUAAUGGAAGAUUUACUAAGACUUAGUCCAUGAAGCAAAGGUUUGGACUCGUUUAGCCCAUUAUGAAAUCGCCUUUUAUAAUUAAGGUUUUUUAAUAUGAUAUUAUUGUCAUGUUUUAUAUAAAGAGAAAAAUAUUAUAGUAAAAAAAAUUAUACUUUGUAUUCUUUCUGAUAAUAGUAAUAUCCUUAUAACUCUAUGUACAUAGAUAAAUUAUCGAAACACAUAAAUAUUAUCUCGUAUAUAUGAUUAUUUUUUUUGACAUGUGUGUGUGUUUUUUUUUUUUUUUUAUCACUUAGGAAUUCGGCUUUAUUCUUCAGGAGAGAAGAAGGGAGAGGGCGGAAGGGGGUGUGUCUAUGACUAAUUAGUAUUGUCAGACUAUCUUGUUUGUGUCAAAUCAAAGUCCCCACAGGACUUGUUGGCAUCAUCAGGACUUUACGGGUUACGGGUAGUGAGCACGUAGACCACUAAAGCCCCAUUAGACGAUUCUUUGGAAAACCUCCGUCCUGGGCUAUAAAAUAGUAUUACAUGCCAAAAGGGAUUAUUCUUGCUUAUCCCGUAGGCUUGCAGUGGGUGUGAAAAGGGACAAACGGGGGGAACAGCUAUUUUAUAAGUUCGAUAAUAUUUGGAAGCUGUUCUACCAUAACAAUAUUUUAUAUGGAGAGAGAGAACUGGCUUUCCCCCAAGUACCUACCAUACGCGGUUUUGGUCAUGACUCAUGAUUGUACUUCAUUUUUCUCUAAGGCUGAAUGCUGUUUGUUAUAAAGGUAUAAGAAACACAUGUUAAAAGAUGAGAUCAUCAAGUGGCAAUUUAACGAACAGUUAAAAUGCAGACUUAAAAUGAAAAGCGACCAAUAAAUCUUUACACUUUUUUCCUGGUUAUGAGUCGCGUCAAAAGCCUAUGAAUAGGUUUGGCUACCGAAUACGAUGACGGAUGAACCUUUCAAUCGUAAAAGCAAAAGAAAAGUGAAACAUUGUACGAGAAAAAAAUAUAUAAUUAAAUAUUUAAAAUUUUUAAAUAAAAAAUAUUAAAUUAUGUUGCUAAAUAUGUAAAAAUAUCAUGUAUGAAGUAAAUAAUGUUAUUCAUGAAAUAUAAAUAAAUAUAAAAGAAUAUACUUAAAACAUUGAAAAUACAAUAUAUAAAACAAAGAAACACUAAGGAUAUGUUUGGUUGAUAUUUUCAAGAAUUAAAAAAAAAAAAUGCUAAAAACUUGUUUGGUUGAAAAUUUUAAUUUUGUUUUUCUUAUUCUCCGUGUUCUCAAAAUUAUAUUUUUUAGAGAACAAAAAAAUGGUGUUUUGCCCAUUUUUUUAUUAUAUGCAUAACAAAUAGGCCAUAGAGAGAUCAUCAGUUCUUUGUGUGUUUUUUUUUUUUUUUUUUUUUUCCAGAUAUGUGCUUUAUUUUUAUCAUGUGUUGUUAGUUUUUUUUUUUUUUUUUUCGUUUAUAUUUUCCUGUUUGGAUGCUAAGAAAAGUGGGGAACGAUAAUGAAAACAAAAAAAAAAUUCCUGAUUUUUCCCAUUUCUCCAUUUUGAUUUUUCUUGAGUUGUUUUAUUCAAAACAAAAAAAAAACAAAAAACUUGCUUAAGGACAAAGAAAAGGAGUUGCUUUGAGAGGGUUUUGCAGGUGACUUUUUCUCAGUUUCGAAGAAAAUGAGAGAUAGCUGAAGGUGAGGGUAGUCAUUUGUAAAUAAGGUAAUAAUAUUGGGUAAACACUUUUCUUAAUAGUGGAAUGGGCAUAGAUAUUUUGAAGGGACAUGGUUGAUAAAAAAAAAAUUCAUGUGAUAAAAUCUAGGGAGAAUUACUAAAAAGGGUAGGCCGGAAAAAAUAAUUACUAUGAAGGCUCACUCUUUUAGAGGACAAUCUUACCCUUGAAUAUAUUUUCUAUAUUAUUUAUAAAUAAAUUGAGAUUGUCAAUGAUGUGGAGCCCAUAUAUGAUGAUAAGUACAAAUUGAUAGGUAAUCAACAGUACAUUUCUCGGCUUGAAAAAAUUACCUGUUCACUUUUAAACAAUCAAAUGACUAUUUAAAAAUUUGCAUUUUUUUUCAAAAAAAUUGAGAUUUUUUAAAGAACCUUGUAAAAAAAAAUAAUUUUCAAUUUCUCAUAAAUAAAAACCAUAUCCUAAAGUUAUUAUAUCGUUUUAUAUAUAAAACAUACAAUUAAAAACUUUGUUAUCAUAAUAUAAUGAAUAAUUAUUUUUUACGAGCACUCAUCAAUUGAAUAAUAUAUAAAUAUUCAAUUGACUAACACACACCUAUUAAAUGGAAUAACUCACAAUUAUUCAUGGGGUAAUAUAGCACGUGAAAAAAAUUAAAUAAAAAUAAAUAAAAUUAUGUUGUAAUAUAUUGUAAUGAUAAUGUAUUUAUAUUGUAAGUAUAAUACAUUUAUGUCGUACCUAUAUUUCAUUACAAAAGUAAUAAUUCUAAAAAUGUUUAUUCAUAUUCUAUUAGUAUUAAUACAUCGUAUCAAUCUCUUAACAACAUUUAUUUAGUGUUUUGAAAUUAUUUAAUAAUUUUUGUAUAUAUAUAUAUAUAUAUGAAAAACUACGAGUCUCGUGAACUCAAAUUAGUAUUUCAUUUGGUUUCAGAAAUUAUUUAUGAUAUAGGUAUGUUGUGAAAUAUAGUACGAUCUUUAUAAAAAAUUCAUAGAUUUCCUAAUUAGGUUUUAUUGUAAUGUAAGUGUAUUUAUAUUGUAAUUAUAACAUAUUUUUGUUGUACCUGUAUUUUAUAAUAAAAGUAAUAAUCUUGAGAAUCACCUUUUAUACCUUAUUAAUAUUCAACAUAUCAAAUAUAUUAACAUCAUAUUGUUGCAAAGGAAAAAAUAUCAUAUAAAUUUUUUUAAAAUUAUUUUAUUAUAAAAAUAGAAAAUGAUUAAACAUUCUCUAUCAUUUUCUUAUUCUUUUUAGAGAAUCUGAAUGAAAAAUUAAACAUUUUAUCUUCCUUGAAUUUAAUACAAAAACAUAAUUUAUUAAUUUAAAAUUAUAAUAUAUAUAUAUAUAUGAAAAAAUCAUCAUUUUUAUUAUAUAAUUAUAAAACUUAUUUUUUUCUUAAUAAAAUUAAAAAUUAGAAUAAAAAUUAAAAAUGUAAAAAAACAAUAAAUGAUAUUUUGAAAAUAUUUUUUAAAAGUAUUUUUGUUUUAAAUAACAAAUUACAUAUAAUUGUAAGGGUUAAACCCAAAAUUUUGAUUUAAAAUUCGAAUGUCAAUCAUUACAAUAAAUGUGGGCUUCAUGAAUCAUAUAUAUUGACAAAUUAAGUUAAGUGCUUUAAAUGCUUUGAAUUUUAAAAGUUUUAGUUAAAUGGCAGUUUUGGUAUAUUCAACCUUUCUUGCAUUUAUUUUUAUGUCCUAUUUAUUUUAUUUACAAGCUUGUUAGGUAAAAAUUAAAUUAAUUCUUUUUAAAAAAAUUUAUCUCAUCUUAAUAAAAUAUACUUUAAUUUUUAAUAAAAUUAAAGAUUAAAUCAAGAAAAAAAUAUUAAUAAAAAUGAUUUUAUAAUGUUUGAUUUAUUUUAAAAAAUAUAAAAAUAUUCUUAUUUUAAAAUUAAUAAAAUAAAUAAUUUUUUAAUUUAAAUGUUCUAUGUAUCUAAAAAUUAUUUAUAAAUUUAUAAUAUAAAACAUUUUAUUAAUUGAAAAAUAUAUAUAUAUAUUUUAAACAUGUUUUAUAUUUUACUACUUAUAAAAACUUUUAUAUUAACUCAAUCAAACAUAUAUAUUUUUUUUUUUUGAGAACAAAAACUAUUUUUCAAAAUUCAAUUUUCAAACAUAAAUUUUUUUUCUAAAAACACAAAAAACUAUUUUUAAAAACUAUUCUCAAAAAAGCAAAGAGUCCUAACCAAUUUAUGUUAUCUCAUUUUUAUCACAUGUUGGGAAAUCAGAUCUGCAAACAAUAGUAAUAUUUGAAGUUUAGAGACAGAAAUGUAAAGGUUGAUUUUAUGCGGAUGACCUCGAUUUUUACGAAAUGACAGGCGGCGGCCGUCCUUGCUAUCUUGUGAUACGACUGUGAAUAGCCUUCAAAACAGUCAAUCCCUGUAACAAACAAAUAAGUGGGCGUGGGGGGAUAAAUCAAAAUAUUUGAUGAACAUGGACAAUAUAUAUAUAUAAUAUAUCCAGUUAUGACAAUUUGCCAGCAAAUAGCAUCCUACCACAUAUCAUCAGGAAUAGCUGUUUUCCUUUUGGUUCCUGAACUAAAAAGCCGCAAUAGAACAUAAUAGAAGUGAGACAAAAAUUGUCUAAGCACAAAGACUAAGAGGUUGUCCAUUUCUGUCCUUGUCAACCCUCUGUUUUCAGCCAUGUGCAUAAUUGCUGGGGACAUCUUUCCAAGUGCUGUCCACAGCUCUCAAUUGAUUUCUCAUUGAAUUAUAGCACUAUCUCAACCCCACCAAACCUCCAGUACCUACAACCAAAAAAAGACGUUUCCCUAGCUCUUGCCUCUCACCCCUUCGCAAGUGCUGGCUUUCAUCAAUUGGAUAGAUACUAUAGAGUAACGAAACAUCAAAAUCUUCACCAAAAAGUAAAGUCCCUUUCCUGCACCUUGGGUAUAGUCUUUCUUUACAAGAAGAUGAACCUGUAGAAUGUAAGCUAUGGAAAUUAUUUUCACAAAGCAAAUAAAAAUUUAUGUCUAAUUGUGCAUUAACUUGUGAAAAUUCAUAAUCCAAGAAAUAUAUCUACUCUGGCCUACUAACAACUUAUCUACACUUUUGAGUUUCUAUGCUUUUUGUUAACAGCACAACCUGCCCCAAUGAAAGGCAUCACCAGACCCCUUAAAGAACAAUAGCAAAGGCUAAAUUAGAGGCCCAUUUGGAGGUAAUUUUUAGAGCUGGAAACACUUCUUCAUACUUGGAAUUGCUUUCUUACAAAAGUUAAAUGUUUGGCACAUUUUUAAAAAUCUAGAGAAUCACUUAAACGAUUUCAAGAUCAUCAAUUAGGGUGUGUUUGGUAAUGUUUUUAUUUGAAUUGUUUUUAGAGUAAGUGUUUUUGAAAGAACUAUGUAUCAAGUGUUUCUUCAGGAAGCACUACAAGUGAUUUUUCAACUUUUUAAAAAUAAUUUCUAAAUUUUAUCAAAUGAUUGAUUUUUCUUCAAAAAUGCUUUUAUGCUAAAAGUGUUUCCUAAAAACACUACCAAAUGGAUACUUAACAGGUGAUUCUUAAAAAAAAAAAUCUAAUUUUUGUUAUAUAAUAUAUUACUAAUAACACUAUCAAAAAACCUUUAUAGUUUAUAUCUACAUGCUAAGAGAUUGUCUCUAAAUGCAUUUAUAAUAGAAGCACUAUUAACAAAAGUACUACAAACUAAAAGCACUUUAAUCAUAAUCACUCACAUCUUUAAUCUAGGACUAAUAAAAAACAUGUAGCUUUCAAAGAGAUAAAUUUAUGCUUUGUUUGGAUAUUAGAAAGUCUUUUUUUUUUUUUUUUUUUUUUUCUGAUAAGUAAACACUUGGAUAUUAGAAAGUUUGAGAGAAAAAAUAAAAGGAAAAAAGUAGAAGGAAAUAAAAAAUAAAAGGAAAAUACUAAAAAAAAAUUAAACUUAAUAAAUUUUCCUCAUAUGGCUUUCAAAAUUUAUUUCUUUUCUUCUCCUAUAUAAAGAACAAAGAAUUUGAAAAUGUUAAAUUUAUAAUUAAUUUUACUAUAUUUGAUUUUCCUUUGCAUUUUCAUGGUAAACCAAGCGAGAGCUUUUGUAUUUCUUGUUACUUUUUCCCCUUUUCCCAGCACUUUCUGUGAUCCAAAUAGAGCCUUGACAAUUCAAAGACAAAAAUACAUCUGUCUAAUAGCAAUCUAAAUCUGCAGGCAUAGCAAUUUUACUUAUAUUUGGUUAUUUCAAUUGAAUUUGAACUAAGAGACUUCAACUUCAAUGCAAGAAAACCAAAAACUAACAUUUUUGGAAUUUUUAUUUGUUAGAGGUGUGAACCACUUGUAUUAACGUAAAAAGAGGCAACUCACCUUUACAUGAUAAAAAGUCACACCAGAACUCCUGUUAUGUAACAGAAACACUUCCAUUAGGCUGCUGGAUGGUCCCCAACGGAGUCCCUACAAAACCACAGAAUCACUGCCUAUAAUCAGAAAUUUUUACCUCAUCUUGAUAGUAGUUCGGACUAAAAUUUAUAUGCAAAAUAAAAUGGGGAAAAAAAAGAGAGAAAUAAGUGGAUUUAUGAUGGUAUAUGAGAUCAAUUUGAUGGUAAUGACAGAUGAAGUAAUGACACUAUGAUGUGUUGAAACAUUGAGAAGAAAGUGGCAUAUUGAUAUAGCCUCUUCUCUGUAACAGCAACAAAUACCCCUUUGACCCAACUCACCAAGUCAUGCACAUACAGGCAGCUCCUAGGAGGAUUGUACAGCAUGGAGAUUGUAGAUCUUCCGAUAAAAAUUAUCAACUUUCUUGCAGUAAACAUAUGUUAUCAAAAUUUAAUGGAAACAUAUCCAGGUCCAAAAAACCCAUAUUACUAAUCAAAGAAUAUCCAAUGGUGGCAACAGUGAAUGCUAAGGGCCACACUGUUCUGAUUGAAAAAGAAAGGAAAGUAUAACAUCAGGCAUCAAGGAAACACAUGCGAUACAAACUCUGUUUCCCAGAUUGCAGAGUGUUCUGAAGAUCGCAUCAAAGAAGGGAUCCCAUAUUGUUAAAGAUACACAUGGAGAAGCCACUGGUGGAAGGGAAGCAUGUUGUUCUCUUAACUAUUGUUUUGGAAGAGCAGUAGGUAUGUUAGCCCAGCACUCACAGAAGAGGAAGGUUGACCUUGCAAAAGCAAAUCUUGACGUCAAGAUAUCCAACAGUCAACAGCUGCAUCAACUGCUAAUUUAAGCAAGGUGUUGGUAAGUGGGAACCCUACAUUAAUGAUCAAGUUAAGAAAAUUUCAUGGAUUUGGAAGGACACGUUUGGAAGGUAAUGAACACCCAGAUGCAUUUCUAGCUCAAGAAUGGCUUCAUGAACUGCAUUAAACUUACUUGGUCCACUAAUACCCCUAUUCAAGCAGGGGCUCAAAACCUCAGUCCAUGGUGUCAUGCUUUUUGGGUUGGGUUUAGUUUUAUCUUAAUUUUCAUUUUUACUUUUGGGUUUAGCUUAAUUGGUAGAAGGAAACUCUAUUUAGUUAAGAGGGUGGUUUAUGAAGAAGAGGAAGAGACAAUGGAGAAUGACUUGGUCAGGCUUAGCCUGGAGUAUUUGGAGAGAAAUUAGUGAAUUUUUAAAGGAGUUGAUCAUUCAGGAUUAAAUAAAGGAAUUGCUUUCAAAUUAUUGUUUUCUUCCACUUCUUUGAUUUAUUUGGGUUCUAUACUCUAUUUUAAUAUUUAUAGAUUGUUAUUACUGUCCUAGUUGUUUAAGUGAUCAUGUGAUAUUUUAAGAGUUGAACGGCUAGGAUUGUAAGGUGUGAGUAAAUUUUCAUCAAAUUAGAAAUCUACAAUUUUUUCUUUUUUCUUUUAAUAAGUAAAAAAGGAUAAUAUAUUAAAAGCGCUUGUAAAAUGGCCCAACAAAGUACACAUGGAGUAUAGACAAAACAAGCAAGAAGAAGAGAAGGAAAAGAGAGAGCAAACACCAACUGCCCUAACUAUCCGACCAACCCCAAGAAAGCUGAUGCCCCCCUUAAUCCAAACAUAAACGAAACCUCUCGACCAUCCUCACAAAACAGGUUCUGUGUCCCCAAAGCUCCUUCCCCUGACAAUGGCUGGAGACUUCUUGUAAUUAACCAAACACUCUAGUUUAUGGAUUUUCUGCUCAAAAUGGGAAGUCAAGGGAGCACUCCUCUUUCUACCUGAAACCUUGACCCCACAACCUUUUCUUUAACUCCAAUUUCUUCAGCAGGGGACUGAUCUCCUUUUCAAACCAUUCCAUAGGUAACCCUAAGAAGCUACUGAAAUUGACAAAAUUAGUGGGGAGGCUAUCCACACCAAACCAAUCCCCCGCCUUUCUACCCCCCCACCCCCUCUUUAUUAUAUACAAGCAAUCGCUAAGGGCUUAGGGGGCUCCACCUCCUUAGCCACAGCCUCCUCCUCCUUACCUGAAGGGUCCUUCUCAGCAUUUUUGGAAUACUCUUAACAAACUGUCAUUUUGCAACAACAUACUUAGCGGCUGGCUUGCCAGGUCCACAAACCCCAAAGAAGAGAGCGGGGAAAGCCUUGGAAACCUAUUCGCCUUCACCACAAGAGCUGUGUAGGUGAACACCACACAGGAACUCGUCGAGAUUGAUGUUGGCAAAGCCUCAAGCCUCACACGCCCAUCUUCAACGCAACUGUACCACGUCGUCUCCUUGAUCUCUGCAAAGAGAGCCCUGCCUUCAAGAAGCCUUUUUUUUUUCUUUUUAUAAGUCCCUCCCUUCAAGAAGCCUUAGCGAGCCCUUCUCUCCCUCAGUCAAAACCACUAAGCAACAACCCUCUCUUUUUUCUCUUAAACCCACCAACCCCACUCUCUGAUGUACAGGAACUUCCUUGGGCUUGACCCACUCUUAAAUCCUCCCCCACUUCAUUAACAGAAACUAAAUGGGCCUUUGAAGUAGUCAGUCCACAAAGGCUAUGGGCCUGAGGAGUAGCGCGGCCAUUGGGACUUUGGGCUCUCUUUGACCACUUACGGACAACCUUUAGGCCCCUAACUCAGCCCCACUAAAGACACCCUUAGCACAGUUUACAAUAACGGGAAGAGUAAAUGUUAUGAGGGUAACGGUUAAAGGAGGAACCUAAAAUUCUUGGAAGUGGAAAAAGAGAUGGUUUGAAAUAAAGAUGAGGUGCUCAGAUAGACUAAGAUAAAGAAAGCUUGGGGGCCACUCCUUUGCGUCUGUUUUGGACGUUAUGGAUGGAAAGAAAUAGAAGGUCAUUUGAAGAUGUUGAACAGCCAAAUCAAGCAAUCAAACCUUUCUUUAUAUGUAGCUUUUUGGAAUGGCUAAAGUGUAAUGACUGUCCCUUGACCAUGAUAAGCUUUGUAAAAUGGUUAAGCUAAGUGGGGAGAGGGAGGUUGUUUUUUGGUUUUCUUUCUUCUUUUUUGAUUACCUGAUGGCGCUUCUUCUACAUAUCUCGUGUACUUUUGGUACAUUGAUUUUCAGGCACUACUAAUAUAUUUUCUCCUUUUGCAUAUCAAAAAAAAAAAGGAGGAUGGACUGAAAUUAUGUGCACACACACUAUGCUUAACCAAAUCCCCUUAUAAAAUAAAUAGAACAGAAUAAUUUGUGGCAACAAUGGAGAUUUCUAAAAUUCCAUAAACCCAAUUGCAAACACCUUGCACUCAUCUUACCAGUUUAUUAUAUUAACUUAAGCUUAGUUGCCAAAGGCAGAGUUUCAGUACAUGAAGCAACAGCUAAAAUCAAAUAGAAAUUACCUGAGUUGCUGGCAAAGGAAUAAGGUUUUGAAAGAUAUUUGCUUUUUAUCGUUCCAACUGGAGCUGCAUGAGGCCUUAAAACAUUAUUAACAUGGACCUGAUUUGAAAAAUUCAUGGCUGGUGGGCAUCCCUCAGAUUUACCCAAGAAGACUUCUGAACUUUGCACAAGAACUUUAUCAGGAUUUUGCAUAGAAGGUAAGAAGUGUGUAUCUCUCUAUUUCCAAGAAAAAAUAGCUUUGAGUCAGUGAUUGCAUAUUAGUAUUCAUGUAAAGGGAGCAGAAUGAAGGGUUUAAUUUUAAUCUGAAACAAAAAUGCCAAUAGACAGCAUGCCUGCAUGUAAUUCAUGAUAUAAGGAGACCAAAUUAUAGAAAAAAGAAGUGAAAAUAGUUAAGUUGCACGGACUCCUAAUUGAAAUAUCAGCAAAGGGCAAAUGUCAUAUUCACAUUUAGUGUGAUACUCCUAAAUUUCUUAGUACAAUAACUAAUUUCUAACACAGAGCACCUCUCUAGCAGAAAAUUAUUUCAUUAUUAAUAUGAUGUUAUUACAAAAUUUAAAGAUAACAAGCGUUUGCAUUGGAGACACUGUAUUGAUAACGAGUAUGUAGUGGGUUAAUGCUAGGUCAUCCAGGGCAUGUUUGCCCUUUUUCACUUUCACUUUCAUUUGAGGUGUGACAGAGGGUGUUGCAAAUGCAAGAACAAAUUCAUCCUUAACAAUCCUUUUACUAUUGACAGCUGAAAGCAGAAGUAAUUGGUCUAAGCUUAUGAAAGCUAGCAUAGAUGAAAGUAAAAGAAUCAAGUAUGCAUAUACAUUUUUAUUGCAGGUCAUUACUACUUGAAGGCAAGAUUAACUUCUUGAGAGUAAUCAGAUGUUCAUUUACUAGACAUUCAAGAUUAAAUAUCAAAUGAACUUCUGGAGAUGCGAAUACAACAGUCAGAUGUAUCAGAAAGUGACAAUUGCAGUUGUAUAUUAAGAUUUCAAAUGCAACCUCUUUCACUCAUUCAUUUAGAUGUUUAGAACAGGCCACAUGACAAACACAGGGAUAUUAGAUCAUUCUGAGAAAGAAGAGUGACAAACCUUCUUCUCAGGUUGGUUAUCCAUUUGUUCAUGAGAAAAGUUCUUAGGAGAUGAAGCUUGUGGAACCAUAUUUCCCUGUAACACUUUUGGACUCACCAUAUCACUGCAAUGUCCCUCAUUUGAUGCAGCAAAGUAAAGAUGACUAAUUGCAGAACGAAGGCGAUGAUUUCUUUGAGAGUAAUACAUUUUGGUUGCAAGGGGAACAGGAACACCUGAUUUAGUUACCAGAAAGUACUCAGACUUGAGAAAUGAAAACACCAACUGCAUGAUAACAUUCCUGAACUGUAAUAAAGAGCAAAAGGUGCACGAUCCCAUAAAACUGAACAUGCAUAUGAUAUUACUCUAAGCUAAAUGAAGUCCAUAUUUCCCCUCUCAAUAUGAUUCAGCAUAAGAAAUGAGCAGGUUAUGACACAACCACCAGAAAAUACCAUUGGUUGACAAGCUGCAUUCAUGGUCUUGCCCAGGCUUUUGAUGGGCAGCCAAAUGAUCAUAAGGCCUUUCACUUCCUUCAAUUGAACCUUUUGGGUAUCCUGCGCCUGAGCACACGUAUGAGGAACAAAUGUCCACAUGAGUUUACAUACAUAACAGCAGCAAUAGAAAAGUCCAGCAAUGGUGCACAAAAGAAUGACGGAUAAUCAUAAUACCGAUUUAUGAUUGAAGUCUUGUCCAUAAAUCGAAUGUGAUUAAAAGAAAAAAAAAACUAAAAAUCAAAAUUGCUUAGGAAGUUGCAAGGAAAUAUUCAGCAAAUUAAAUCUGUCCUUACAGGUAUAUGCUCUCUGACUAGUUAUACACAUGGUUUUGUUCACACCAUACGCUGUUUCUGGACCAUCUGCUGGUGAUGGACGAUCAGUUGCUAUUCUCCUGCAAGAACAGAGAAAGCCAGGCAUUAUAUUUGGAAGUUGCCCCACUGAACUUCAUGAAAAGUAAAAGAGGGGCAUAUUGGGGAACAAAACUAUAAGCAUGCACCAGAAGUCACCAGCAUAUUAUCAUCUACAUGUUAACCUUUAAAAAGAACAUCUGAAAUAGCAAUCACCAAUCAUUCUGCUUAACUCAACAAAGCCUUAGUUCAAACUACUUUGAAUUGGCCACACAUCUAGGCAAAAUUCAGCUCUAUCAAGGGCAUCAGAAUCAUUGCAACAGGGUUAUAAAAAAUUAUAAUUGCCAUGCCUCCAUGAUCUUUGAUUACUCUGCCAAUGGGUGAAUAAGGGUAAGAGGGCGCCAUAGAAAUAGGAUUCUUAACUUAGUAACAUUAUUACCAAAUCAGGCCGUGGACAUAUGGGGCAACGGAGGAUCCUCUUUGAUAGCAGCAUUCUCUGGGGUCUCCUCUACCUUCUUAAAACAUUUUCUUCUCUUUAAGCAUGUGGGCUUUUUCCUGGGAAUUCUUGUUCAGUGUUUUUUGGCAUCUAACUCUUUUGUGGACAGCUGUGUUUUAGUAUAUCCCUUUUUUGUGUCUCAUUUGAAGGAUAGCUCAUCUUUCCUUGCAUUAGAUUCCUAUAUCUAUCAAUAAAUUAUUAUUAUUAUUUUGAAAAAAAGAAAAAGUUCUUAAGCUCCAAUGGAAGAAAGACUAUCUGGUUUGGUGUAAUUGACACACAUCAAGAGCAACAAGGAGAAGGAAAAUGCAAGUAAGAAACAGGGAAAGAGAUACUUGAAUAUUUGCUUAAGUAGACAAUCUCUAAUGUAGUUGAAGCCGUGUUGAUAACCAUAAUAGAAAUUUGUAUAGCAUAAAGGAGAAGAGAGCAUACAGUUUGGAACGUUUUGGAGGAGGCAUAACACCUGCAGAGAGGUCUGUAUUUCCAUGACUAACUCCUGAACCAUCCACUACAUGUCCCACAUCUACACAAGCUGAAUUUCCUAAAGGAAAGGAAAAAUGGAAGAGGCAAGCCAAAUUCAAAAUAUAGAACAUAUGUUCCACUUAAUUACAAAGAAAUGAAGUUAGGUCUAUUAAUUAAUUAAAUAAAAACAGAUAAAAUAAAACAUUGUGUUUGUCUGUAUGAUUACAAGUUGUUCUGCGAUGAAAAAGUUGUGUUAGUUCCAGUAGGGAGAAAAUAUUCUGAUUCCAUUGCCAAUUUAUUUUUCUUGCCUCACACAUGCCUGAAGGGGCAGGACCAGAGGUGUUCAAAAGUUUUGCCACCAUAAUACUCUAAAACUGUAAACUUUUAGCUCAAGAUUCUUGCAAAAUAAACAAUGGACCUUUAUCACAGUUAUACUGUUAUAAAUGAUGUCUCCAAAAUCCACUGCCUCUUGUUCAAGCCUGGUUAAGUGGUAAAAUGGAUAGGGAUUUCUGUAAAGGAAACAACCACAGAGACAUCCAUCUUGUGGACAUUAUAUAUUUGAAGCUUGAUGUCUACAUGAAAAAGAAAUUCAUGUCAUAAUUGCAAAUCAAGCCUCCUUCAACAAAUUAUUUGUUCCCAUAAAAAAUGCAUAGAGGCAGCUUAGAAGCCAUAAAUAAUGGGUGCCUAGUGACAAAUUGCAUGUUAUAAGUUUCUGCCACAAAGCUGUAUUAAGACUGAAUGGCAAACAAUAAAACAAAAAAAAUAAAAAGUGGGGUUUUGGCCGCUGAAGUUUGCGUCUUUUGUUUUCUCACACGUACACUUCAAGUGUACUGCAUUUGCCACUUUUGAUUGGCACUUGUCAUAUAUAUAUAUAAAUCUUAUUUGCCUAUUAAAAAAAAACAAAUAAAUAAAACAAAACAAUAUGAAAAAUGGGAAGACAAAAUAACACAAUGUUUUCAAAAUCGGACCAGUCAUUAAACCGAAAAAGUUACCAGUUCACUGAUUGAAUCGGUGGUUGAACCAGCGACAUCAUAAAUAUACAAUUUAUAUUUUAUUAAAAUUAAAACUAAUUAUAAAAAAUCUAAAAUAUUUAAGUAUGUAUAAAGAGACUUAAAAUCAAUAAUAUUUAUUCAAAAUGAAUAUAAAUAUGAAGAUAUAUAUUGAAAAUGAAUUAUAUUAUUUAAUUUCAUUUACAUAUUAAAUAUCAUAUUAUUUUAUAAUUUUAAAAGAUAUUAGGUUAUUUUACUGAUAUUAUUUUGAAAUUUAUUAUUACAUAAAUAAAUAUGAUAAAAUUAUUUAAUAAUGCAUUUACUGAAAAUCAGCACUUGGUGUAGUGGUUGCAAUGUCACUUCUUGAAUUUCUGUCAAUGAUUGGAGCCUCCACAUUGUGACAUGUAAAUUUUUUGGCAUAAAAUGUCAUCCCACAUCGAAAACAUCAGGAGAAAUUGAAGCCUUUAAAUUCAAAGUUCAACCUUUCAUCAAUGCAUGACAAAUGGACGCUUGAGACCAUGACUAAAGCUUAGAGAGGCCUUUUGCCCAAGUCCAAAAUAUAUGAGGCCUGUAUUGAAGCCCAAAUGAGAAUGCGUUGAGUGGGUUCCCGGGUCAACAAGUGAACCGAACCGGACCAGAUUUCGGGUGGCGGUUUGACCAGUCAGACCGGCCAGUCUGGUCUAGUUUUCAAAACAUUGAGAUAACAUAAAAGUAGACAUGAUUGAAAGGGAUGAAACUAUAGCACAUCCAAAAUGUUUUUUUUUUUAAAAAAAAAAAAAAAUUCAUAACUUCAAAAAUAGAUUAGCAUAUGGUAGAUUCAAUGAGUCAAAAUGGAGCAUUUUUUAGUAGAAAAUAUUAUUCUUUAUUCAAAAUAGAGGAAUUAUUCGAGGACAAAGGUAAUUCAGAAAGUUUUCUGUUAGCCAGAGGCAAUGUAUUCCAAUAAGUAAAUAUCAAUAUACACUAUGCAUUGGAUUAGCAGUAAAGAAGAAGGAAAUUGAAAAAACUAACCACAUAGUUUUACUUUUCAUAUAUAAAUAUAAACAUAGUGUUUGAUAAUUUAUAUUAUCUCCACCAUGUGUCAGUUUUUCAGAAGUUUCUGUAUUAGUGUAUCCAAAUCAUGUCUAAUUUGCGACCUGUUCCAAGGUCCAUGCAACCUAGGGAUUGGAGUAUCAAGUAAGAAGAAAGCAACAUGAAGAUCACUGUCAGUGAAAGCUGCAAUUUGAAUCACAAUUUCUAAAACAUCAGAAGCCAGUUUAUCUCAUUUUAAUAAUAUAUUAACUAAUGAAUUUAUUAUAAAUUGUAUUUAUAUAGUAAGGGCAACAAUACCAAGAUGAUAUGAAAAGAUGAGUUUAACUAGAUACUUCAGUUGUGAUAAUGUUGAUCAGCAAGCAAUGAAUAAAACUUAAAUCCUCAUGACAAAAUAUUACUAAACCUUAACCUUAGCAGGGAAAGAAAUAAAAACCAAUAAACUAGAAGCAGAAAGGGUUUACUUUUUAUCUCUGUGAAGGAACAAGCCGCUCCAAUUUGCUCAUCUAAGCAGGGUUCAGAGGCAGCAGUAUCAUCUGCAUCCAUAGAUUCAAACCUUUCUUGCUCCCCAGCCAUUGUAGCUUGGUCUAAGAGAAGUUAAGAACUAUAUAAUUGUUGUCCAGAAAAUAGAUAUGAUAAGCUUCUGACCUGGAAAAAAAUUCCCUAUAAUGAAAUGGAAAAAUGAAAAAAAUUGCAAAAUUGAUUCUAAAAAUGAAAUGAUUAAUGUAGAAUCUAUGUCCAUACCAUUUGAACUAUCCUCAUUUUCUUGCCUAGGAAAUCUGAAAGAGGAAAAGGAUACUAGCAUAAGCAAUUAAUGACUUCUUCCUUUCUUUCCGUGGAGGUUUUUUUUGCCCUGCACCACCAUCAAGCUCCAAGAACGAUUCUUCUGUAGGAUUUAAUGACUUGCAGAGUUCUGGGGGGAAAAGGAAAAAGAAAAGAAAACCUCAUUUUGUGGAAGAACCAGAAGCAUAAAACUUCCAGUGAACUUGUGCCAACACCACACACAGUCCCACAGUACCAUCAUCAGGUCCUUAUCCCACUAAGAUCAAGCCCAUUUCUAGAUAUAAUAUGCAACUCAUAAAGCAAUAGAUCACAUUCUCCUCCACUGUGAGAAGGCAAGGAUUCUUUGGGCGUUGCUUUACUCUAUGUUCGGGGUGCAGUGGGUACUGCCAGCCACUGUUAAGGAGACGCUUUUGGAGUGGAAUGGGUCAUUUGUGAGAAAGAAGAGGAAGGGUGUUUGGAGAGCAAGUCCUUUGUGUCUCUUUUGGACGGUUUGGAAGGCAAUGAACAAAGUUGCUUUUGAGGAAAAAGAGCUGUCAAUUCAAAGGCUUAAGUUUUCUUUUGUUUAUUUUCUUUGGUCGGAGACGAAAUUGUCUAUAAAAGAUGGUCCCUUGACCUUAGUUGAUUUUGUUGGUCGGGUGGCAACCCGUUAAGGGUGUGGGUAGGGCUGCUCCUCUGGCCUUGGCUUUCAGCUAGGGUGUGAGGGUUGUUUUCUUUCUUGUAAUUUAAGCCACUGCUUUGGUGGUUUUUUAAUACAAUCCCUUUACUUAUCAAAAAAAAAAAAAAUGCAACUCAUAAAGCACAAGACACGUAUAAUAUCAUUGCUCUUGGCAUAAUAAUUAUUCACCCUUAGACCUCUUUAUGUUGUUAAAUUUGUUUCAGACAAUACACUUCUCUUUGAGCCAUUAAUUGACUCAUGCAAUGUUUGGUUAAGGAAAAUAAUUUUUUCAUGUUUGGUUUUAUCAUGAAAAAUAAGAAAAAAAAAAUCAAAUAUAAUUAAAUUUAAUUAGAAACUUAUGCAUUUUCAAAUUAUUUAAUCGUUAUAUAAAAGGGUUAAAAUAAGUGAAAUUAUUUAAUCUUUGGAUAUAAAAAAUUUUUUUUGUUUAAUAAGGUCUACUGGGAAAUGGAGCUGCAGGGUUGUAAUGGAUAUGUUUUGUCCUGGGCAAAUUUGGAUUUGCAUAAAGUGAAAAGGAGCGGCUGGGGGGAGUUUGAUGCAAGAACUAGCUUCGUAAUGGGUAAUAGCAGGAGAGUAAAGUUUUGGCAUGGUAUGUAGUGUGGAAUGUUAUAUGGAUUACCUCUUUCCCUUGUUGUCCCUUGCAUCUAAGAUGGAGAUUGAAGGAGGCAUGCAUUGGAACCCUGUUUUCUACAGAAUUUUUAUGAUUGGUAGCUACAAAAUGUGGGUUCUUUCCUCAAACAGAUUCAAACAGUGGAGGAACUUAUGGAUUACAAGGAUAGGAUGGUGCAGAGGUGUGCCAAGGAUAGGAAGUUCUUGGUUUAAUCUUUCUAUUACUCUUUAGGGUCAGAUCCUAGAGGACCUUUUCCAUGCCAAAGAAGUCAAGAACUUAGGCUCCCACAAGGUGGCCUUCUUUGCUUGGGAGGCUGCUUAGGAAAAUGGGGAAAGCGAUGACAACAGAUACAAUGCUUAUGAAAAUGAGGGGAUGCUAAUUUAGGCUGUCCAUGAUGAGAAAGACAAAGAUGAACAAUGAGUAAUCUUCCUGUGUAUUUGGACUGUGGGCCCUUUUGUUACUAGGUGCCUAUUAAUAUAAAUCUCUGAUUUGCCUAUAAAAGGGGGGAAAGAAAAGGAUGACCCAUGAGUGAUGAUCAGUAUUUGAUUUCUACCCUAUAUGACAUCACUUCAAUACUCAUAUAUUAUGAAACAGUUUGAACGCUAAACCAACAGGUAGCAUAUGUGGUGCACCUCUACUCAUCAUAUAUAAAAACAUUCCUCAUCUGCAUAGUGUCUGCUUCAAUACACAUUUUCCAUUUUCUCCAAAUUUUCAUUUUAUGCAUAUGGAUUUAUUUUGAAUAACACCAACUUUAUCAGGCCACAACAAUAAACACUGCCAGGAGAAAAAGGAUUUCACACCUGCAUGAGCUGCAUAUUGGCUGGCCUUGACUGGCUUCUUACAGGCAUUGCAACAUACCUUCACGUAAUAAAAUAUUAAACAAUCAGAUAAAUUAGGUCAAGAAAAAGCUGAUGAGCACACGCACACACAUAGCAAAAUAAACUGACAUCUUGCAAAAACAUCUCAUGGACAGAAUCCUAAUUAUUAGGUCACAGCUAAUGCAGUACCAAAUUUUGAUUAACUACUUUAUGUUCAGAUGAAGGGAUAGGUACACAACCAUUAAAGCAAAAGGGAUAUAGGUUAAAACAAAGAGAAAUACACAUGCAAAAGGCCUUCGUCACAUAUCCAUACACGUGCAUAUACAUAAAAUGUGUACAAAAAGGAAAGAAAAAAGAAACAAUGUAAAUAUUCUUGCAAAAUAUAUCAUGCUAAUUGAAUUCCAACAAUCUAAACAAGAUUGCAUGGUGCCACAGUUCAGAAUAUGGCGUAGAAGCAAAGGCUAACAGCUGGAACAAAAGCUCCACAUCAUCAACUUGCAAGAUUUUUAACACCAGCAUCUGCCCCAGACUUCACAAAUUAAAAAAUAUGCCAAUAGCCAUUCUACCUUGGUCAUUAUCUAAUUUUGUUUACCUGUGUACCUUGGUGAGCUUUUGCUAGGCCCUGUUAAUAUAUUUAUUUUAUUUGCCUAUAAAAAAUAAUACCAUUUUCUUAUCCUAUCAGAAGACAGAGUACAAACUUUAUAUGAUAUUUCCUUUAAGUGUGGAAUAAUUGAAAAUAAAUCCUCAAGAGAUACUUAUUGAGUUCCUUUUGCUCCUCGCUCCUUGUUGCGUCAACCUAGAAGUUGUUCUCUGCUUGCAAGAGGUUAUCAUUUGAAGUUUGAACCAGGUGUUGAUGGUCACCCCAUUUGCUUCAUUUUGGUUUAAACUCCAACAGUCCACAUCCAGGUUAUGCUGAUUUAUUUGUGAGAUAGAAAGAGACCUAGAUAGCGAGAACUGUCCUUUACACGCAUGUACAGCAGUUAUUGUACACUUGAUCAUUGCAUUUUUCAUGGGCAUAGCAUAAGUCUUAAUAUAUUUCCAAAUGUCCAGGCAACAGGCUUUGCUGCCAUUUCGCAUUUUUGCAAUUAAUGGAAACUCCACAUUCCUUACAAUUUUUUUGAGUAUCAUUGCUCACCAACAAUCAAUGGGAACAUGCCAACAUGGCUCCAGGAAGACAUGUAGCAAAAGAAAUACCACCACAACUAGAGAGGAAGGAUCUUUACAAGAUAAAAAUCAGGAUUAUGACAUCACAGACAACACAAAAUAAUUAAUUUUUAUCACACAAAAGCCUUUGUAGCAGCCAAUGAUUCUCCAAACCUUACCAAAUACAAAGGAUCAGCCAUAGGCUUCAAACCAAAUACAUUCAUAUCUGCAAAAGAAAAACACAAAAUUUGUUCUAGAUAAAAGGGAAGCCUUCACUGAAUUAAAACAACCACAUGAACCCAUAAAUGAAUUGCAAUGGAUUCUGGAUAAUUAUCAAAUCACCUUCUUCAUCAAGCAAAUUUGCUUCAUCUGCCUCACGUAAUUCUCUAUGUAUGUAUUGAGCAGCUAAUUUCUCCUGGCUGACGUCCUCUGCCGAAAGAGGGAAAGAUGAAACAAAAAGAAACUGGGCUGACCACAAUAAUUUUGCUUACAGCAUAGCAUCUCAGAUCAAGUGGAAAGGUCAAUCACGAUUUCCUCAGUAAAUCCUAUUUGCUGGCAGAGAGUACUAAAGUUCCACACACCCCAAAGUUGAAAAGUAAAUAAAUGCUAAGUUCUAUAUCAUUGAGAAUAUUCAAGCUACAUAAACUGCAAAUCUCAGAAGUUCCUAAUUAUAAAAUUUAUUCAAGAUUGCUGAAUUGAAAAUUUUAGAAACAAACAAAACACAGGAAUAAAGAGAUGCAUUGAUCAUAUAGAAAGAGGGAGAGAGGGAGAGAGGGAGAGAAACCACUAAAGAUACAUACAGAAGUCAAAUGCCAUUUGUUGAAUUAAAAACUACCAUUCUCUGUGUACGUGUCUAUGAAGGUGAAGAGUGCAGAGAAGUGGGGUCCAGCAUUUUUUUGAUGGAUGAGAAGUAGGGUCCAGCAUGUGGAGGCAUGGGGAUGGGACAGAGGUUUACAAGGAGAACAGGGGGUUGUAGAGGACUGGGCCAUGGGAUACUUUAUUCUCAGUGAGCACAAUUACAUCAUGAAAAAGAACUUGUUUACACAGUAUGCAGAUUAUUUUGAGAGACACUUGUUCUUGCCAUACUGAUACAGCAUUUGGAUCAUAAAUUAUAAUUAUAAGUAUUACAUUAUGCAUACAAGAAAAAUGAAAUAAAGAACCCUCUAAUCCCUGCUCACUUUCUGUUCACUAUAAGAAUUUUGAAACAGAAUAUGACUUCCCUCACUUUUACUUCUGCCAUUCUCCAUAAACACUGCUUCAUUCUUUUGGAAUGUUUUCUAAUCAGCUAAUUCUUGGAUGUUUUAUUUUGGUAGGUAAACUUUUUCUUUAUGAGGAGUCAAACACCGAACCUCCCAUGUUCCUGUCCAGCCCCUUGACACUUGAGCCAGCCCUUGGGCUUUGUCAACUCCUCGAUGUUCUAUUUCACCGGUUCAGUUGGACUACAUAACUUUCCCAGAGAAAGAAUAAAUGCAAAGUCAAAUUCAGCUACUACUCUUAUAUGAGCCCAUAUCAACACUCACUGCCCAGAAACAUCACACAAUAUCAUCAUACCUGUUAUAAUAGGUGAGAAACUUCCUGCUGCCAGAAGUCUGGCCAUGACUGCCAUUCUCCCACUUUCAAGUGAGCAUACCAUUGAGGCUAAGACAACUUGUAUGUCUCCACCCUAUAAUAAGAAAAGAUCACCCUAUAAUAAGCAGAGUCCACCAAAUAUAUAUAUAUAUAAACAUACACACCCACAUCCAAACUAUGCAUGCAGUAGCAUUAGCAAACAUUAAAUGAAAUAAAGUUACAGAACUCGGCCUAUAUAAAAGAUUGUUUUCUAACUUCGCAAAGGCAUUUUCCAUUUUUUUUUAUUUUUUAUUUUAUGGCAAACAGAAAAUUAGAUUAAUUUCCAAUUGUUCACUAAACUUAAUGUUGGUCAAUUUCCAAUUAAAAAUGGUAUCAACUUUUCAAAAAUCAAAAUCAAUUGAAGUAUGAAGAUGAGCCUAUUAAACAAAAUAAAAUUUGAAAUAUGAAGACAAGCCUAUCAAACAAAAGAAAAAUUGAAAUAUGAAGAAGAAUACAAAAUGAUCAAAUAAACAGACAACCUGGAACCAGUAAGUCUAAAAUACAUUACAAUGUGGCUGGCAUGCUCCUCCUGCAUUCCAAUAGAACUAAAUGACUUCAACACAUUCCAGCACAAUCAUAAACUAUUAUGCUAAACUAGAAAAUUAGGAGUUCCUAAUGUUGAGUUGCAUGGAUCAUUUUAGUCAUUCAACAAUAAAAAAUAAAGUCUCAAGAAAAUAGCUUUUUUUUUUAUAGGUAAAUAAGAAUUGUAUUAAAAGAAAGAAAGUAUACACAUCGUAUACGAAGAAAAAAGGACAAAAAGGAGUGAAAACACAAAAACCCACUACUGCACCCUAUCAUGAGCCUACCCAAUCCACAAAGUCUAACAAAGAUAAAGAUCCGCCCUCAAUGUACAAUCUAACCUAAUUCCAAAAUAGAUACAAAAAAGAAUUUUUAAUUGUUUGAUCCGUGUUUUCAAAGUUGCCAAAAGCCCUCCUAUUUCUCUCCUGCCAUAAAGCUCAAAACAUACACAAUGGAGCAGUUUUCCAAGCCUUCUUCCUCUUUUUACCCACAAAGGACCUGUGUCAACUCAGAAGGACCCCUCUAACUAAACAACUCAACACCCACUGAAUGCCAAAAAGUGCAAAGAUCAACUACCACAACAAACAAGCUUUCAAAUAAUGGAUGAGACUAUGGUCACUAGUUUCUUUUGUUUCCUUACACAAGUAACAUAUAUUAGGAAUCCACCAACCCCUCUUUUUAAGUUGAUCCAGAGUCAAAAUCUUGGCCCAAGUUACUUCCUAAGCAAAAAAGCUAAUUCUCGAGGGCACCUAAGAAUUCCAAACAAUACCAUGGGGAACGGUUCCACUCCUAUCGACCAAGGAGUAGAAGGACUUAACAAAGAAAGCACCAUCCUUCAUAGGCAACCAUACCAUGGCAUCAUUAGUCUCCACAGACAAAGGGUGUACUGACAAUCUCUCCAAGAAGGCUUGCACCUUCUCUAGUUCCCAAUCAUGCAACUACCUCAUAAACCUAGGACUCCAACCACCAUCCUCCCAAAGGUCACUUACCCAAGCAUUUUUAGAGAAUGCUAUGGAAUAAAGCUCAAGAAAGGACUCCCUCAAGGAUGAAUCCCCACACCACUUGUCCUUCCAGAACUUCACCCAGUUUCCAAACCCAACUGUAAACUCAGUUCUUGUUUUGAACAUCUCCCAUCUACCUCUGAUAGCCUUCCACACCCCCACACCAUGUCCUUCCCUAACAACUUUAGAACACAAACCCCCCUCAACUUGCCCAUACUUGCCCACAAUCACCCGUUUCCAAAGAGGGUCCCUUUAACUUGCAAAUCUCCAAAACCACUUGCCUAAGAGAGUCUCAUUGAGGAUGAUUAAAUCUCUGAUGCCCAAGCGUCCUUGUUGUUUGUCCAACCGAACAAUAGCCCAUCUCACCAAGUGUGACUUUUGCUCUAAGGCACCUCCUCCCCACAAAAAGUCUCUUUAAAUCUUUUCUAGUUUAGCGGCUACUUUCCUUCGAAUGACAAAGAGAGACAUAAAGUAAAUCAGCAAACUAGACAAAGUGUUCUUCACCAGGGUCAACCUUCCACCUUUUGAAAGAUACUGACUCUUCCACAACGUUAAUCUUUUUCGAAAUCUCUCUUCCACCCCAUCCCAUACCCUAGAGGACCUGAAAGGAGCUCCCGGCGGAAGUCCUAAAUAGGUAGCAUAUGAAUGUGUAUAAUUAAGAUUGAUGAUUCAUAAUUUCACGCCAACAAUCAUUGGUUUCUGUUCGGAUUAAGUGAUAUAAAUAAUAAACCACCACUUGUCUUUCUCUUGGAAUUAACAAGUUUUUCUCUUCUGGUGAGGCUUUUUGGAAAGAGAGCUGUUCACCAACUUUGUCAAUCAAGGACAAGGAAGUUUACACUUUAUAGAUGGUUCAUAUGGAUUGCAGAACAUAAGUUUUCUCUUAAGCAGAGGGUUCUCAUUUUUGUAGGUCAGAAUUUUCUUGGCAGCUGUCUACCUAGGCAGCAAAAUAGACUGCCCAAGUUUUGGGGAUUGCCUUCAAGAAGUUGUUAUGAAUUUGCUUCAACUAGAAGAUGUGUUCCCCAAAUUAAGAACAUUUAGCAUUUUCUUAAGCAGGUAAGGAAAUGUGCUCUUUAGUGGGGUUUUUAACUGUUCCUAUGGAAGGUAAAUUUUGACCUCCAUCAAAUUGUAAUAUUAUCACGUGCAGGCAGUCAGCAUAGAUGUGGCCUCUUCUAGGUGAACCCCAGAAAUUGUGGUGUCUUAUAUCCAUGUAUCCAAACUCUUUCUUCUUUGUUGAAGCCAUUACUUGGAUUUUGCAUGGGGUUGGUUUUCAGGAUCCCAUUCCCUUUGCAAGUAUGUUGAUUUCCAUUAGGAUUUAGGCAGUGGAAUAGGCCACUACAAAUUCAGCCUCACAAUACAUGGCCGAAUUAAUAUCACCAAAAGGUAAAGCAAUGAAAGGACACAUCCAAACUACCUUUUUAUGAGCCUUCAUAAACAAAUUCCUCAUGUAAAUUCAGACAUAAUAUACCAUUUUAAAAGCCCAUAAAUCUGAAUUUGGACACAAUAAAUGACAAUAAUAAUUAAAAAAAUAAAGGAAAACAAAAAACAAGUUCAAAAAAAAAAUCCCUCCACUUUUUUCCAAACUUUAUUCCCUUUAUAGAUAGAGAACAUGACUUGAAUAAAUUUCUCUCUGAUUUUCACUGCAAUUCAUUUUCUUUCCUAUUUUCCAUCCAACCCAAUCAAGAUAAAUUGUUUUUUUAUCCCCUAGUUCUCUUUCCUUUUAUUUGCACUUUCAAGAACCAAACAAUGCAAAAAAGAAACCAUAAAAUUUGAAUAAUUCUCAAACAGAACCACCAAAAGUUUUUUUAAAAAAACAACUCUAAACCAUAACAAUAAAACUGCAACAGGAAAAAUCAAAAUCAACACAAGAUUGACAAUUAAUCAUCAAUUUGAAGUCAUUAAACCAAAAUGAGAACUCAUUACCUCAAUUGGCAAUUAUCAUAAAAAAAAAGGAGAAGAUAUUCUUCCUCGGGAUUUGAAAGUUGAUAAGUUUCCAUUAGGAAUAGAGGACUGAGCACUCUUAAGGUAUUCUUAGGGACAAUGAUUAGUUAUGACAUAGUGUUAUUAGAAGUACAUAUAAGUGGCAUAUAAAUGGGAUGUCACGGUUGUGAUCAGGUGCUCCAUGAACAUCAUGUCCAUCCCCUUGGAAACCCAUCUGCUAAGGCUUCUUAUUUUAUAUGUAUAUAUUUUCCAUUUUUCGACGGAAGAUGGCUUAAAAAAUCAUUUUUUAGAAAACCUGAAAUUGGGGAACCAACCUUUGUGUCUUCUAUACCCUAACCUUUCUCAUAUUUGAGGGUUAUGGAUCCUACAUCUUGUCUUACCCUUUCUGAAACAUUGAUUGUCAUCCUGAUUUAUUAGAUCAGACAACUGAUUAUUUAUCCUCUCCCUUCCUCAAGUUCCAACCUGUUUACCUCUUUGUCACUUCAAGGUCAUAGGAUUUGGAUUUGGUUUACCUCAGACAUAUUUUCCUCUAGCCUUUCUUUCACACAGUGUUUUCCCAGAUGUCUUUCCAUAGGUUAAUAUCAUUUGGAAGUCUAAAGGUACUCCCAGUUAAAACUUUCACAUAAUAGUGGCCCUUUUAUUUCUUUCUUUCUUUCUUUCUUUGAUAGGCAUUUAAAGCUUUUAACCCUCAGCAUUGUGCUCUUCACUUAGACGGUGGUCCCGCUUCAUUCAUUGUAGAGAGAUGAUGCUCAUUACCUUCAGAGGUUUUAGGAGGAGCCCCAGUCUCCCCAGGGUAAAGUACUUUGAAAAGAACUAGUGCUUGCUAUUCUCAGGAUGUUUGGGCUAGAAAUUUGGAUUUGUAAAAGUAAGUAAAAUCCACAUGAGACCUUAUGAAACACUGUCUCUAUUAGCCAUUUAGCUUACUUCUUUGUGGGGCUCCCUCUUAGUAUGUUAUGUAUGAAUUUUAAGAAACAUUCAGUAGUAGUGCUAGAAACAGGAUGUAGGUUGAGGUUAGUAAAGCCUAGGAACCCCCCACCUUCAAGUUAUCUCAAAGUGAAUUUUGAUGGAUGAACACUCGUCCAAAAAAAAUGAUGGAUGUACGCUAAGGAAUUCAGGCCAGGUAGAGAUUUGUGUUCCAAGAUUACAAAGGCAGCCAGAUAAGGACCUUAUCAAAGCCAGCUGAUUCAAGAUUUUCUAUACAAAUUGAGAUUUCAGCCUUGAUAAAGGCUCAAUGGAGGCAAAAUCUAAGGGGAUUACAAAUUCCUGAGGAGGAAGGGAUUCAGAAGUUGUCAUCUCAUGGUUUGCUCAGGGGAAGAUAGGAGCAUGGGAGUAGGAUGUGAACCAGGAAGAUCUUGGACCCCUAUCAGAUCAGAUGGAAUGUUGUUUUUCUUGGAUACCGUGGUCUACUAAUGAGGUAGCAGAUCAAAUGAAAAUUUGUGCAAAUGUUUCAUCCAAUUACUGGGGUUUAGCCUAAUAUCCUUGGGUGUACUAAAUUCAUUUCGUUUGUAUUCCUUUUUUAUCUUUGUUUUGAAAGAUGAAUCAUCCUUGAUGUACCCAGUAUUUCUUUAUAUUUAGUGGAAUGGUUGCUUUUUUUUUCUAUCAUCAUAUUAUCAAAAAGAAAAAAUGGUGAAAACAAAUGAUGAAAUUGUAAAAUUUGAAUAAAUCCACAGUGAGUCUCAGCAGAAAUUCAGCAUCACGGUGCUAAUCUAAUCAAUAUCUUUCAACAAGGAAUCGAUGGAAGGACGUAGCCAAACAAUUGUUUGCCAGAUUUUUUCCCAAUAAAAUUCUUUAAAUAAAUUCAUGCAUAAUACACCAUUUAAAGCCCACGAACGCAUACUUAGGAUAAGUAAAUCAGAUAACCCAAAAUAAAACAUAAAUUAGGGUUCAGAGUUCUGGCCGCACAAACAUUUCAUAAAUACAACCAAUUCUAAGACAUGCAAUCAAAUCGAUGAACUAUUCCAUGCUUCAACCACAAAAGAAACCACACAAUCCGAAUGCCUCUCAAAUACAAACCACAAAAAACAACAAAAACAAAAACCCAACCCACAUCCACAAAUCCUAGCACCAAAAAAAAAAAUCCACACAAACACACGACAACGUAAAAAACAAGCAAUUCAAAAUCACCAUAACCACAACGAGAACUCGAUUACCUCAAUCGACAACAAUAAUGAGAAAAUGGCGAAACCAGGGAAUUCGAACCAAUCCAGAGUCGAUCUCAGCUGAAUGCGCCACGAACUUGACGUGAAUGAGAGCGCGAACAAGCACGACAAUGACGAACCCGGAAACCCUAGGAGAGAGAAAGUGCUUAGUAUGUGUUUGUAAAAAAUCCGCUGCCUUCUCUAUCUCUAUCUAUCUUCCCCACUGCGUGGAGUAGAGAAGAGAUUGGAAGCAAACACUUAGGAAUGCCUUUUAAUAUAUAUGCCUCCGCCUAUGAUCCCUGUGCCUGUUAUGUAUGUGCGCCUGCGCAGCUGCUUCGGGCCCACGCCACUGCUGUGUUACAAUUCGACUUAAUGCAACUGAUUAGGUGUCCAUGAUGUGGCUGUGGUUUUCGGCCGUUUAUUUAAUAAUAAAUAUCUCAUAUUAUUUUAAUAUUUUUAAAUAAAUUAUAACAUGUGGGACCCUCAAUGUAAUUUAAAAACUUUCAAAUUUUAAUUUUGUUAAAAAAAUUAAAAUAUGACUUUAUAAAACAUGAAAAUUAUAAAAAAAAAUCAACAUAUACUAAUAUAACUUGAUAGACUUAAGUAUUAAUUUAUUUGAUAUUCAAAUUACCCAUCAAACUUUAUAAAAAAAACAAUGACAAUGAUAAAAUAUAAGAAUUUAUCGAAACUUAUGAAUGAUCAUUCAUAUUAAUGUAAAUUUCUUCAUGACUCCUCGUAGGAUGAGAAACCUCUAAUAAAAUAUUCAUUCAAUUUUUUUUAUUAGAAUUCAAAGUAUUAGCACAAGCCGACAUUUGAAGACUUCAAUUCAGUAGAAAUGUCACAAUAAAAUACUACGAAGGCUCCUACAUCAAUUUAUGAUAAAGUACAUUAUGACAUAAUCUCAUUUUUCUAUAAUAGUUAUAAUUGUCAAUCUUUUUUAUAUUAAGAGAAUAUAAUUCAGUUUUUCACUAUUCAUAACCUAAAGUUGUGUAAAAGAAAAAAAAAAAGAAAAUUAAUAAAUAUCAAAACUUGUACAAUCAGAAACUAUGAGUAUAUGCAUAAAAUGACAUUCCAAAACCAUGUUAAUUGGGAUUCUCUGAACACUUGUAGGACAACUUAUAUAUAUAAUUAUUUUUUGACAAAUCAGUGACUUCGUAUAAAGCAUAACACUGUGUGGAGCAUCCUACCACAUACAAUUACCAUUUACAUAUAUUUAUACUAAUUCUUUUUUUAUAAGUGUAAGUUGUGGUUAUAAUUUUAUUAUGGAAAAGUGAUGUUAUGGCAACAACUGCAUGAAGAACAUAGAAAGUAAGUUUUAAAACAUUGUUUUAAAACUUUGUUAUAAUAUAUAUAUAUAUAUAUUGUUAGUUAGGGGUUCAUCUAAGAGACUUGUAAUUGAGCAAUAUAUGAGCUCAUUUGGGUGGGUUUUUUUUUUUUUGGGAAAAUCAUCUAAUCAUACACCAACUACAAAAAAUAUGAGAUUUUGGAACUUUGUUUUUUUCUUUUUAAUUUUAGUGUAAAAUGGAAAAAAUUAUUGUUUAUUCAUGCACUCCAAUAGUGCUUUCAAAUUUGUUCUAUAAUUACCCUCAAAAGUAAAUGACAAAGUACACACCAAUUUAAUGCUAUCUGUUAACAAGUACAUGAGUCAUUUAAUUUUAUUAUUUUUCUCACAUCAAUAUAUCCCCCUUACCAUUUGUUACGUUUCCACUUUUUUCUUUUUUCUUUUUUUCCUCCCUGCCAUCCUUGCCACCAUAAUCCAUUGUCACCUAUUAUAGUUUUUUUUUUUUAGUUUUCUUUUUUAUCUUUAUAUUCUUUUUAAUAUGCUCAUGCAUUUUUUAAUAAAGCUUCUUUAAUUUUAAUUUAUUUUUACUCUCUAAUUUGUCUAUAUUUAUUUAUUUUAAUUAUUUUUUUGACAUAUUAAACUUAAAAUGAUAAUAUAUAAUAAAUAAUUAAUAUAAAAAAUUAAAUAAAAAAUAUAUAUAAUGUACAAAAAUGAAAAUAUUAUCCCACAAAUAAUAAUGAUUUUAAAUAUUAAUUAUAAUAAUACAUUUUAUAAAUUAAGGUUUAAAUUUAAAAACUCCAUUUUAUUAUUUAGAAUUUUAUGAUAUAAGAUUUUUUAUAUUAAAACUAAACAAAAGAUUUAUUUAUUUUGUAAAUUCUAUCACAUGUAAAAGUAAAAAUAUCAUCGUAAUAUUAUUUUAUUAUUUACAUUAUUUUUCUUUUAAUUUUUAUUUUAAAUUUAUCAUAUCAAAAUCACAAUAAGUGACAAUGCUUUUAUCAUUUUUCUUAUGAUUUCAAAUUGAUUGUGGAUCUAACUUUUUUUUUUUUUGGUUAAAAUCUUUAAUUUUUAAUUAAAAUAAAAUAUAAAAGAAAAUAUAUUUUUCAUAAAAAAUUGUAUUUAACCUUUUAUAUUAAUUUAAUAAAAAAUAGGUACAUCCUUAAAAAUAUAGGUAAAUUAAUGCUUAAGAGAACUGAAAACACUAUCAUACUUAUCAUGAUGUAUAUAUUUCUUUAGGACCCUUGAUAAGUAAUUGAAGGUCUUUGCCUGCCCCAAAAAGAACUUUGGGAUCCUAGGUAUAUCCAUUCUAAGAGGAACCAAGACCCCUAUUUUCAUUUUCAUGGUUCAUAUAUUCAUUUGGGGACCCUUGAGAAGGAAUUAGAGGUUAUUCCCCACCUUAAAACGGAUAUUGGAACCCAAGGUACAUCCUAAAGACAAUUUGGUGCAUCAUUUAUAAAAUUUGGUACAUAUUUCAUAAAAUUUGACACAUCCUUAAAACAAUUUUGUACAUCCAAUCCAUGAGCUAUCAAGACCUCUAUAUUAUUACCCAUAGUUUGUUUAUUUCUUUAGGGAUCUUUAGGAAGUAAUUAAAGGUCGUUCCCUACUCAUAACGGACUUUGGCAACAUUAGUACAUCAUUUACAAAAUUUGGUACAUUCUUUACAAAAUUUGGCACAUCUUUCACAAAAUUUGGUACAUUAUGAAGGAUGUACCAAAUUUUGUAAAUGAUAUACCAAGGGUUUCAAAGUGCAUUUCGAGGUAGGGAUCAGCCCCCAUGUAGACCCUCAAUUUUGUCCCUCAACACUGACAUUUAUCCUUUGGGUGUCACCUGCACCCAUCGUUCUCAUAUGGCACCACUGGGGCCCCUUUUGGGCUUAGUUAGUGUCCGAGCCUCGUGUGGGCUUGUCUGUGGUCCAUUGUGGUGCAUAUGUGGUUCAUGUUGGAGGGUCAUCGUGGCCAUUUUCCUAUUCGUUCACAUCACCCUAUAGGAAGGAAGUGGGGUCAUCCCGAUGUUUUAGCUUAGUUGGAGUUUAUAGGGGCAUGUUGAGGUUCGGAGCACUUGGGCUUGUUUUGAUCAUAUCUCCCUUUUCCGAACUCGGAAUUGUGCACCGUUUUUUUUCAUGGAUUUCUCACUCUUCUAGGAACAUUCUGUCAAAUUUUCAAAAUUUUUUGCAACCAGUUCGACCAGUUGGCAUCCGGUUCAGCCUGUUCAGCCGAUUCAUCGAGUCAACUGGUGUAGAACACUGAUUUUUGGUAAUUAUUUUGAUCAUAUCUCCAUUUUUCGAACUCGGAAUUGCGCACCGUUUAUUUUCAUGGAUUCCUCACUCUUCCAGGAACAUUUUGUCAAAUUUUCAAAAUUUUUUGCAACCGGUUCGACCGGUUGGCACCCGAUUCGACUGGUUGGCACCCGAUUCAGCCGGUUCAUCGAGUCAACCAGUGUAAAAUACUGAUUUUGGUAAUUUUGGGACCCAAAUCCUACAUGGAUCAGGCCCAUAAACUCCAGAUCGGUUUUGGGCAAUGUUGUGGGCCCAUUUUGGGACUUGGUUUGGGUUUCUUGCAGCCCACCACAAAUCCAUAUGGAUUCUUGGUGGUGAAGCAAGCUGAAAACUGAAGGGAGUGAGCUGGCCUCGUAAGUGCAAGAGAAAUAAUGGGGGGUGUGUUUUCCAUGCUGAUGGAGGGGAUUUCGGUGCUGAAGGGGAAGGAACCCAGGAGGCUCAAAUGCUGAGAGGGAUAUGAGUAUAAAAUGUGAGAAAAUAGGAGAGCAGAAGAGGAAGGAGAAGGAAAACGAGGGCACUUUGGAGAGGGGAUAUUUUGCUGGUGAGAAAAAACAAAAGGUCGGGGCACCUUCUGAGUUAAGAGCAUGGGGGAAAGCUUCAGCACUGUGGUUAUUUUGAAGAGGAGAGCUACAACAUCUCAUUUUUUGGAGGUCAUCAUCGGCAUACACGGAUCAUAUCUGGUGGAGAUUCUGAGAUAAGUAGGCUGAAUUUUUUUUACCUGCAGUUUAUCUUCAUUUUCUUCAUAUACGUUUUCUCCUUCCGCAUCAUCUUUUAUUUCCUUUGAUAUGAAGAUUGUCUUGCUUGGGUGUGGGUAAUAAAGGUCACACAUGAUUGUUGUUGAUUGGUUAUGAAUGGUUUAGAAACUUUCUGACCAAAUUUAGGAUUUUUCAUCAACCGGUUCAGCGCCAUAGUUGGCUGCCUCUGUCAACCAUGAGGAACCCCUGACCUUUCUUUGUCCGGUUCUCACUCAUCUGAGCUUAGAAUUGAGAACCGUUUCUUUUGUUUAUUUUCUUAUUCAGUUAGAAACUUUCUGGCCAAAUUUGGGAUUUUUUAUCAACCGUCUUAACCGGUUGGGAACCGGUUCAACCGGUUCAGCGCCAUAGCUGGCUGCCUCUGUUAGCCAUGAGGAACCCCUGACUUUUCUUUGUCCGAUUCUUACUCAUCCGGGCUCGGAAUUGAGAACCGUUUCUUUUGUUUAUUUCCUUAUUUAGUUAGAAACUUCCUGACCAAAUUUGGGAUUUUUUAUCAACCGUCUAAACCGGUUGGGAAUCGGUUCAACCGGUUCAGCGCCAUAGCUGGCUGCCUCUGUCAGCCAUGAGGAACCCCUGACCUUUCUUUGUCCGGUUCUCACUCAUCCGGGCUUAGAAUUGAGAACCGUUUCUUUUAUUUAUUUCUUUAUUCAGUUAGAAACUUCUUGGCCAAAUUUGGGAUUUUUUAUCAACCGUCUGAACUGGUUGGGAACCGGUUCAACCGGUUCAGCGCCUUAGUUGGCUGCCUCUAUCAGCCAUGAUGAACCCCUGACUUUUCUUUGUCCGGUUCUCACUCAUCCGGACUCGAAAUUGAGAACCGUUUCUUUUGUUUAUUUCCUUAUUCAGUUAGAAACUUCCUGACUAAUUUUGGGAUUUUUUAUCAACCGUCUGAACCGGUUGGGAACCGGUUCAACCGAUUCAGCACCAUAGUUGGCUGCUUCUGUCAGCCAUGAAGAACCCUUGAUCUUUCUUUGUCUGGUUCUCACUCAUCUGGGCUCGGAAUUGAGAACCGUUUCUUUUGUUUGAAUCCCAUUUAGGAGUUUUUUAGAAAAAUUUGGGAAUUCUUCUUAAUAGGUUGUACCAGUUGAAAACUAGUUCAACCUGUUCUGCUGGAGGACUUUAGGUAGCCCUCGAUUUUGGCAUUUUUCGAGCCCUUAUCCAUUAGGGCUCAAACCCAUUUGCUAUAGGGCACUUGUGAGCCAUCUGCUAUAGGGCACUUGUGAGCCAUCUUGAAGGUUUAAGUCAGUGUUUGAUUUCAGUUAGUAUGGACAAUUUUGAAGUUAUGGGUGGUGUGGUCUAGAUGAGUCUAGUUUGAUUUGUAUGACAUUUGGGGAGUCCCUUACCUCAUUUCAACCAGUUAUCUUCCUUUUUGGCACAAGCUUUGAUGCUUGAUUUUGAAUACAUGUUGCGUCACUGACUCACCCUCUGCUGUAGCACAUGGCUGGGGACCACAGGUAUGCAUCGUUGGUUUUGAUUGUUGAAUCAUAUGCAUGCAUGGUGCUUAAUCCUGAAUGUUUGUUAUGUGUUUAUCUGUGUUUGGCUGACCUUUUAUGCAGCGCAUGGCUGGGGACCACAGGUACACACCCAUUGUUUUGGUUGGUUGAAUUCAUAUGCAUGCCAAAUACCAAUUAGGAUUGUGUGAUUCAUGACAUCUAUUUAGCCUAGGGUUUCAUCUUUGACUUAUAUGCUCCCACAUACCCAAUUCAUUAGUAGAGACCGAGUUCCGGGCCUAGAGGGGUGCUACCUCGCAUGAGGUACCUUCCCAAUGGGUAACCUGAUCCCCGGACCCAGAAUCUAGUUUUCGCAGACCGCUUUUUCCAUACUAGGAUCAUUAGGGGUUUUUGUUCUUACUUAAUUUUCCCCAUUUUAAAAAUAAAAAUAAAAAGUAAGUGGUGACUCCAUACAACACCGUUCCUUACCGGGGGCGGGUUUUUCAAAACUAGAAAACUCAACUUUUUCAUUCUUUCUUUUUAUUUAAAAGCGAGUCGCGCCGGUCCGGUGGAUCGGGUGAAGGUCUACACCCCAAUCACUUCCUUAUGGGUUCCAAAAUGAACUCAUGUGUCAUCCAUAUUUAGAUGGGGGUCCCGGAAGCGAUAGGAUUGGAUGUACCAAAUUUAAUAAAGGAUAUACUAAAAUUUGGGAAGAAUGUACCAAGGGUUCCAAAGUGCGUUCUAAGAUGGGGAUCGGCCCCCAAUCACUUUCUUAUGGGUUUCUAAAUGAAAUUAUGGAUCAUCCAUGUUUAGAUGGGAGUCCCGGAAGUGAUAGGAUCGGAUGUACCAAAUUUAAUGAAGGAUGUACCAAAUUUUGUGAAUGAUGUAUCUAGGGUUCCAAAGUGCGUUUUAAGGUGGGGAUUGACCCCCAAUCAUUUCUUUAUGGGUUUCUAAAUGAAAUUAUGGAUCAUCCAUGUUCAGAUGGGGGUCUCGGAAGUGAUAGGAUCGAAUAUACUAAAUUUAAUGAAAGAUGUACCAAAUUUUGUGACUGAUGUGCCAAGGUUGUGCUCUUUACUAGUGCACAUAGCCUACCAAUAUAAUGGUUUUAGCAAUAGGCAUGCCUCUAAAAUUAAGGGUGUGCCCCUAGUUUGCAUACUGCAUAUAGUAUACCAAAAUAAUGUUAUCAUACCCAUGGGCAUGCCUAUGCAACGAAGGGUGCACCCUUGCUUUGCAUUCUACAUGUAGCAUAGUAAUAUGAUGUCAUUCAACCAUAGGCAUGCCUUUGAAAUGGAAGGUGCGCCCUUACACAUAACAUACUAAAAUAAUGUUAUUGUAUAAAAAAAAAUUCCAUUUAUUCUAAGGAUAAGGUGUACAUGUUUGAAUGCUUUCCCAAUGUGUUAAUGGGUCAACCUCUCUUUUACCGACUCCUCACAUAACACGAAGCCAAUCCCCACCUCAAGGAUUUAGCACAUCUUUCACAAAAUUUGGUACAUCCUUUAUUAAAUUUAGUACAUCUAAUCUUAUUACUUCCGAGACCCCCAUGUAAACAUGAAUGGUCCAUAAUUUCAUUUAGAAACCCAUAAGAAAGUGAUUGGGGGCCGAUCCCCAUCUCGGAACGCACUUUGAAACCCUUGGUACAUCCUUCCCAAAAUUUGGUAAAUCCUUAACAAAAUUUGGUACAUUCGAUCCUAUUGCUUAUGGGACCCCUAUCUAAACAUGGAUGGUCCAUGAUUUCAUUUUGGAACCCAUAAGGAAGUGUUUGGGAGGCGAUCCCCACCUUGAAACACACUUUGGAACCCUUGGUACAUCAUUUACAAAAUUUGGUACAUCCGAUCCUAUCGCUUCUGGGACCCCAUCUGAACAUGGAUGGUCCAUAAUUUCAUUUAGAAACCCAUAAGUAAGUGAUUGGGGGUUGAUCCCCACCUUAAAACGUACUUUCGAACCCUUGGUACAUUCUUCACAAAAUUUGGUACAUUCUUCAUUAAAUUUGGUACAUCCGAUCCUAUCACUUUCGGGACCCCCAUCUAAACAUGGAUGGUCCAUAAUUUCAUUUAGAAACCCAUGAGAAAGUGAUUGGGGGCUGAUUCCCACAUCGGAACGCACUUUGGAACCCUUGGUACAUCAUACACAAAAUUUGGUACAUCCUUAAUUAAAUUUGGUACAUCCGAUCCUAUCGCUUCUGAGACCCUCAUCUGAACAUGGAUGGUCCAUAAUUUCAUUUAGAAACCCAUAAGAAAGUGAUUGGGGGCCGAUCCCCACCUCGGAAAACACUUUGGAACCAUUGGUACAUCAUUCUCAAAUUUUGAUAUAUCCUUCGUUAAAUUUGGUAUAUCCGAUCCUUUCACUUCCGAGACCCCCAUCUAAACAUGGAUGGUCCAUAAUUUCAUUUAGAAACCCAUAAGAAAGUGAUUAGGGGCCAAUCCCCACCUCGAAACACACUUUGGAACCCUUAGUACAUCCUUUACAAAAUUUGGUACAUUCUUCAUUAAAUUUGGUACAUCCGAUCCUAAAGCUUCCAGGACCCCCAUCUGAACAUGGAUGGUCCAUAAUUUCAUUUUGGAACCCAUAAGAAAGUGUUAAGGGGUCGAUCCCCACCUCGGAACGCACUUUAAAACCCUUGGUACAUACUUUACAAAAUUUGGUACAUCUGAUCCUAUCGCUUCCGGGACCCCCAUCUGAACAUGGAUGGUCCAUAAUUAAAUUUAGAAACCCAUAACAAAGUAAUUGGGGGCUGAUCCCCACCUCAUAACGCACUUUGAAACCCUUGGUACAUCCUUCACAAAAUUUUGUACAUCCUUCAUUAAAUUUGGUACAUCCCAUUCUAGCGCUUUCGGGACCCCCAUCUGAACAUGAAUGGUCCGUAAUUUCAUUUAGAAACCCACAAGAAAGUGAUUGGGGGCCGAUCCCCACCUCGAAACGCACUUUGGAACCCAUGGUACAUCUUUCCCAAAUUUUGGUACAUCCGAUCCUAUUAGUUAUGGGAUCUCCAUCUGAACAUGGAUGGUCCAUGAUUUCAUUUUGGAACCCAUAAGAAAUUGAUUGGGGACCGAUCCACCUCAGAAAGCACUUUGGAACCAUUGGUACAUCAUUCCCAAAUUUUGGUACAUCCUUCGUUAAAUUUGGUACAUCCAAUCCUUUCACUUCCGAGACCCCCAUCUAAACAUGGAUGGUCCAUAAUUUCAUUUAGAAACCCAUAAGAAAGUAAUUGGGGGCCGAUCCCCACCUCGAAACGCACUUUGAAACCCUUGGUACAUCAUUCACAAAAUUUGGUACAUCUUUCAUUAAAUUUGGUACAUCUUUCAUUAAAUUUGGUACAUCCCAUCUUAGCGCUUUCGGGACCCCCAUCUAAAUAUGAAUGGUCCAUAAUUUCAUUUAGAAACCCACAAGAAAGUGAUUGGGGGUCGAUCCCCACCUCGAAACACACUUUGAAACCUUUGGUAUAUCCUUCCCAAAAUUUGGUACAUCCAAUCCUAUUAGUUAUGGGAUCCCCAUCUGAACAUAGAUGGUCCAUGAUUUCAUUUUGGAACCCAUAAGAAAUUGAUCGGGGACCGAUCCUCACCUCGGAACACACUUUGGACCGAUCCUUCGUUAAAUUUGGUACAUCCGAUCCUAUCUCUUCCGGGACCCCCAUUUAAACAUGGAUGGUUCAUAAUUUUAUUUAGAAACCCAUAAGAAAGUGAUUGGGGGUCGAUCCCCACCUUAAAACGCACUUUGGAACCCUUGGUACAUCCUUCAUAAAAUUUGGUACAUCCGAUCCUAUCGCUUCUUAGACCCCCAUCUGAACAUGGAUGGUCCAUAAUUUCAUUUAAAAACCCAUAAUAAAGUGAUUGGGGGCCGAUUCCCACAUCAGAACACACUUUGGGACCCUUGGUACAUCCUUCCCAAAAUUUGGUACAUCCGAUCUUAUUGCUUAUAGGACCCCCAUUUGAACAUGGAUGGUCCAUGAUUUCAUCUGGAAUCCAUAAGAAAAUGUUUGGGGGUCGAUUCCCACCUCGAAACGCACUUUGGAACCCUUGGUACCCUCUUCACAAAAUUUGGUACAUCUUUCAUUAAAUUUGGUACAUUCUUCAUUAAAUUUGGUACAUUCUUCAUUAAAUUUUUGUACAUCUCAUCCUAUCGCUUCCGGGACCCCCAUCUGAACAUGGAUGGUCCAUAAUUUCAUUUAGAAACCCAUAAAGAAGUGUUUUGGGGCCGAUCCCCACCUUGGAACGCACUUUGGAACCCUGGGUACAUCUUUCACAAAAUUUGGUAUAUCUUUCAUUAAAUUUGGUACAUCUGAUUUUAUUGUUUCCAGGAUCCCCAUCUGAACAUGGAUGGUCCAUGAUUUCAUUUUAAAACCCAUAAGGAAGUGAUUGGGGGCCGAUCCCCACCUCGAAACGCACUUUUGAACCCUUGGUACAUCCUUUACAAAAUUUGGUACAUCCAUCAUUAAAUUUGGUACAUCCGAACCUAUUGCUUUCGGGACCCCCAUUUGAACAUGGAUGGUUCAUGAUUUCAUUUUGAAACCCAUAAGGAAGUGAUUGAGGGUCGAUCCCCAUUUUGGAACGCACUUUGGAACCCUUGGUACAUCCUUCACAAAAUUUGGUAUAUCUUUCAUUAAAUUUGGUGCAUUCUUCAUUAAAUUUGGUACAUCCCAUCCUAUCGCUUCUGGGACCCUCAUCUGAACAUGGAUGAUCCUUAAUUUCAUUUAGAAACCCAUAAGAAAGUGAUUGGGGGUCGAUCCUCGCUUCGAAACGCACUUUGGAACGCUUGGUACAUCCAUCUCAAAUUUUGGUACAUCCAAUCUUAUUGUUUUCAGGUCCCCCAUCUGAACAUGGAUGAUACAUGAUUUCAUUUUGGAACCCAUAAGGAAGUGAUUGGGGGUCGAUCUCCACCUCAGAAUGUACUUUGGAACCCUUGGUACAUCCUUCACAAAAUUUGGUAUAUCCUUCAUAAUGUACCAAAUUUUGUGAAGGAAGUACCAAAUUUUGUCAAGCAUGUAUCAAAUUUUUUAAAGGAUAUACCAAAUUUUGUAAAGGAUGUACCAAUGUUACCAAAGUCCGUUAUGAGAUGGGGAACGACCUUCAAUAACUUCCUGAGGGUCUCCAAAUGAAGAAAUGGACUAUGGAAAUGAAGAUAAGUGUUCCGUUAGCUCAAGGAUUGGAUGUAUCAAAUUUUCUCAAUGAUGUACCUAGGGUUCCAAAGUCCAUUUUUCGGAGUAGGGAACGAUCUCCAAUCACUUCCCAAAGAUCCCUAAAGGAAUAAUCGGACCAUGUGUAAUAAGAUAGAGGUUUCAAUAGCUCAAGUAUGUACCAAAUAUUUUUAAGGAUGUGCCAAAUUUUGUAAAGAAUGUACUAAGAGUGCCAAAGUUCGUUCCGAUGUGGGGAAUAACCUUCAAUCACUACCUAAAGGUUCUCAAUGGAUAAUAUGGACCAUGGGAAGAUAGAUAAGGGUCUCGAUAGCUGGAGAUUUGGAUGUACCAAAAUUUCUUAACGAUGUACCAAAUUUCCUUAAGGAUAUACCUAGGGUUCCAAAGUUCGUUUCUGAGUAGAGAACGACUUUUAAUUACUUCCUAAAGAUCCCUAAAGAAAUAAACAAACCAUGGGUAAUAAUAUAGAGGUCCUGGUAGCUCAUAGAUUGGAUGUACAAAAUUGUUUUAAGGAUGUGCCAAAUUUUAUGAAAUAUGUACCAAAUUUUAUAAAUGAUGCACCAAAUUGUCUUUAGGAUGUACCUUGGGUUCCAAUAUCCGUUUUAAGGUGGGGAAUAACCUCUAAUUCCUUCUCAAUGGUCCCCAAAGGAAUAUAUGAACCAUGAAAAUGAAAAUAGGGGUCUUGGUUCCUCUAAGAAUGGAUAUACCUAGGAUCCCAAAGUUCUUUUUGGGGUGGGCAAAGACCUCCAAUUACUUAUCAAGGGUCCUAAAGGAAUAUAUACACCAUGAUAAGUAUGAUAGUGUUUUCGAUUCUCUUAAGCAUUAAUUUACCUAUUUUUUUUAAGGAUGUACCUAUUUUUUAUUAAAUUAAUAUAAAAUGUUAAAUACAAUUUUUUAUGAAAAAUAUAUUUUCUUUUAAUUAAAAAUUAAAGAUUUUAACCAAAAAAAAAAGUUAGAUCCACAAUCAAUUUAAAAUCAUAAGAAAAAUGAUAAAAGCACCGUCAGUUAUUGUGAUUUUGAUAUGAUAAAUUUAAAAUAAAAAUUAAAAGAAAAAUAAUUUAAAUAAUAAAAUAGUAUUACGAUGAUAUUUUUACUUUUACAUGUGAUAGAAUUUACAAAAUAAAAAAAUAUUUUGUUCAGUUUUAAUAUAAAAAAUCUUAUAUCAUAAUCUUCUAAAUAAUAAAAUGGAGUUUUUAAAUUUAAACCUUAAUUUAUAAAAUGUAUUAUUAUAAUUAAUAUUUAAAAUCAUUAUUAUUUGUGGGAUAAUAUUUUCAUUUUUGUACAUUAUAUAUAUAUAUUUUUAUUUAAUUUGUUAUAUUAAUUAUUUAUUAUAUAUUAUCAUUUUAAGUUUAAUAUGUCAAAAAAAAUAAUUAAAAUCAAUAAAUAUAGACAAAUUAGAGAGUAAAAAUAAAUUAAAAUUAAAAAAGUUUUAUUAAAAAAUGCGCGAGCAUAUUAAAAAGAAUAUAAAGACAAAAAAGAAAAAUAAUAAUAAUAAUUAUAAUAGGUGACAAUGGAUUAUGGUGGCAGGAGAGGAAAAAAAAAAAAAAAAAAAAAAAAGUGGAAACGUGACAAGUGGUAAGGGAGAUAUAUUGAUAUGAGAAAAAUAAUAAAAUUAAGUGACCCAUGUACUUAUUAACAGAUAGCAUUAAAUUGGUGUUUACUCUUGUCCUUUACUUUUGAGGGUAAUUGUGAAACAAAUUUGAAAGCACUAUUGGAGUGUAUGAAUGGACAAUAUUUUUUUCCAUUUUACACCAAAAUUAAAAAGAAAAAAGUAAAGUUCCAAAAUCUCAUAUAUUUUGUAGUUGGUGUAUGGUUAAAUGAUUUUCCUUUUUUUUUUUUUGUGAUAAAGAAUAUUGAAAAACCUUGAGAUAAUGUUUCUUAAAUUUAAAGAGAGAAAAUUUAAGUGAACUUGUUAAGGAAAAUCUUUUUGGAAAAGUUGUUGUACUCGUUCUUUUAAUCAUUUUUGUUAUAAAUAUGAUUGUUGUUAGAAUUUCCAUGGAUGUAGGCUUGUUGUUGUUGAACCAAUAAAAUCUUGAUAUUCUUAGAGGACACUCUAGGAGAGGUUUUGAUUGAAGAUUGUUCGUCUUUAAUUUUUGUUAACAAUAAGGCACAUUGAUACCGAUAAAAUAAAGAUUAUGCUUAAUUAAGAAAAACACCCAAAAUGAAGGGUGAAUUGGGUUUUUUAAAAUCCUUUUAAACACAAUAAAUUCAAACACAAUAUAAACAAAAAUAAAGAGAUAGAGUUAGAAAAUUCAAACUCUGGUUUUAUAGUGGUUCGACACUUUUUUGCUUACGUCCAUUCUCCUCAAUUUCCUAACCGAAUGAGGGUUCCACUAACUUGAAGUUUCAACCAAGCUUCCAAUCUUCUUACACUUGGAUUCCAGCUCCAAUGGAAUCUUACACAAUCUCUUCAAGAUUCAAACCUCUUGAAUGCUUUAACACUCAACUUUUACAAUAAUGAAUCUCUCAACCUAGCUUAAGGAUAGCUCAAAAUACAAGACAAAGCUAGAAUGACACACAAGAGUGUACUAAAGGAUAUGCAAGUGAUGAUUUAAUGCACUAAUAAAUAAAUGAGAGCUUUUUGGUCAAUAACAGGUAAGUAGACAAUUGAUUGCAAGUGUUCUCUUGUCAAUAAAUGAAGUGGAGCUCUCAAUUUAUAAGUUUCUAAACUCGGGAGCCAAAAACAGCAAAAGGUAACCUCGAUCGGUCAAACUAAGGGUCGACCGGUUCAUUAGCCGUUGGAGCAUUUAAUGCUGACAGGUUACUGUUGCCUUGACCGAACCUCGACCAGGAAAAGAAUAACCUCAACUAGGAAGAGAAGGCUAUUGGGAGAGAGAGAGAAGAUUUUGGGCAUCUCUUGACCGGACCUUGACCGGACAAGGGCAACCGGUCGACCGGUUCCCCAACUGGUUGAGCCUUUUGGUCUCGCAAACCUAUCUUUUUUCAAUUCAUUUAUUUUCUAACACUUAGGCAAAGUCUUUAGGUGAAUUAUUAUGUCAAUUUUAAAACAUUUUGUCUAAGGUACAUUUGUUAAAACUCGGGUUUUAAUGAAAUCGAAAUUUUAAAUGAUAAACUGAGUUUUCUAAGUUGCAUGAAACGGUAUGAAAAUCCUAAGUGCACUCAUGCAUUCAUCUUACAUUCGUUUCCUAUGAUCACAAGUCUUCCAAAAGUCUUGAUCUUAUAUCAAUUUGGUCAUUUGAUGAAUUUUCAAGUUUAUGCUUGAGAUUCUUAACCAUUAAACCAAUUAGUCACUAAACCAUAAUUUGUUAUCAUCAAAACCCGAUUAGGAGAACCCUUGGGCUAACAGAUACUAAUUACUUGAAAUCUUAUCUUAUAAUUUAGUAAAUAGAGCAUAACCGAAUAAGUCGGCUUGAAUCAAACAUCACAUCUUCAUAAAAUUAAUAUGACUAUAACAUAAGGCAACUCAAAUUAGGAAAAUAAAAGCAAAUAAUAUUCUUUUUCCUCUGCUGAGGUAGACUCAUGUAAUGUUACAUACCCCGUUGAUUCUUGAUUGCAACUACAUCUUAUACACAUGGAUGAUAUAUAAUUUAUAUUAAUCAUGUUAAUCAACAAUUUUGGUCAUGGUGGGGACUUAUAGCAAAUAUCUUCCAUAUUAUCGCUAAAGGUUUUUAGAAAAUCAAACAGUUACAAAAUGAAAAGAAAUUUAAUCUCAAAGAGGUAAAAUGGUUUUAAGGAAUUCAUUAAGAAGAUUGAAUAAAAUGGCACCCUAAACUACAAUAAAAUCAUUUUAAUAAAAUGAAACCUUUGAAGAUCUAUUAGAGGUGAUAUAGAUUUCUUGAGAAGGCAAGGACAUAUCAUUUUCGCAACCUUACAUUAUGAUAGAUUAGAGGUAAUGUCAUUUUCACGGUUGGUCAAAGGUGAUGAUGAUCAAUCGUUUGGUAUUUGGUUCUUUUGAUGGGCGUUCCUCAUAGUACAAAAGGUUGAUGGCUUUUAUUUAUUUACUUUUUGGUGGGGGUUGUGAUUUAAUAUUUGGCCUUCGGCUAAGUUUUAUUGGGUUUUUGUGUUUGAGCGGGACAUGGUUUUAUUUGUAUGAUAUUAGGUUAUGUCAAGUUACAUGAUAUUAAAUUAUUAUUAAUUAAUGGGUUUAUGGUAUGAAAUUUGGGAUUGGGAUAGGCUUUCUUGGAUUAAUUACAAAAUUACUCUUUUUUUGUUUUCAAUGUUUGAACCACACAAAUGGGCCAGUGUCAGAAACAUGGUUUGGGCCCAAAUUGGGCCUAAGCCCAAGAUCGAGCAUGGGCCAGCUAGUCCCCAAGACCGACCCUCCAGUCUCGGCUUCAGCCCGUUUCUUAUUCCUGCCCCUCCACAAAAGUAAUUAUUAUUAUAUUGAAAUUUGUUGGCUUGUGAAUCAUGCAAUUUGAUCAAUUCAAUUGAUCGGAUCAACCCAAACUUCGAAAAGUAAGUUUGAAUUAGACUCUGAUUAAGCAUAUUGGGUUAGAUGUUGGAUUGAAAUGGAUUCAGACAGCCCAUUAAGUUACAACCCUAGCAGCAACAAAAUAGCUGCCACCUCCACAAACUGAGAAAGAAAUUCGAAUUUUGGUCUACGAGGAACCUCUUGAAUAGAAAAACAUCCUUAAUUGAAGUCCAGGAACUAUUGGAUGGGGUUUGCCAUGGCCCAUGGAACUGAUGACCCAACUAGCCCAAAACUUCUAAGCCCAACAAAUUUGGGUUGAGGCCAAUCCAUGGGAAUCGAGGCGGACUCUAGAUUGAUCCAUCAAUGCCAACAUUUUUGUAUUUAAUUAAUGCGGACAUCGACACGCACUACGCACGUGAAUCGUAACACACUUAGAAGAGCAAGUCUUGUAUUGUCAAGCUUGAUUUGUUCACAUACAUGUAAUAAUUUUUUGUUUUAUAAUUUUAUACAUGAAAAGGGCACGAGAGAUACGGAGAACAAAUGAAGAACAAACACGCUUAUUUUCUUUAAAAAUAAAAUUUUUAUAAACAGAAUGUCAGAUCCCUCGUGAUGACUCAUUAUUUGUUUUUUAAAUUUAACAAAUUAGCAAAUCAUGCUCAAAUAAAACGUGACAUUUAAUAUUUGGAUAUUCAAAACAAAAUACAUCAAACGUAUUUUAAUUAUUUCGAUCUGAUAAUGUCUUAUCUUGGAGGUUUUGAUUUGACUCGAUUCUAGUUAAUUGAACAAUACUAAAAUCAUAAUAUGUGAAUAUUGAUGAGUAAGCAAUCGUUAGUGACAAAUUUUUUAGUUAUCUUCGUGAUGUGAUAUUAAUAAAUGCAUAAUCCAUCAUAAAUGUAUAUAUCAAAUCUAAUAAUUACAUGAGAAGAUAUAUUAGUAGGUAAAAGAUCGGGAGUCAGCUGAAUAUAUUUACCAAAAUAACUUAAUCCAUUUUUGAUAAGACCUGUAUAUAAUUAGCAUAUUGAUAUGAGUGAAGUUAAUGCAACAAUAAUAUUUAUAUAAUUCAUGGGUGCAACUAAUUUCUCAUGAGGUAAUUAUAUGAUUACCAAUUCGAAACAAAAAUAAAUAGAAACAUAGUUUUAGUAAAAGGAACCCAAGAAUCAUAUUAUUUUCUGAUUCGAGUUUUGCUCACGUCUUAGAAUGAAUUCAAAUGACAUAUUUGGACAUUAAUAUUCAAUCGCAGCUCCCUCCAAUUUAUUUAUUUUUAUUUAAAAAAAGACAUGCAAAAAGGUGAAAAGAAAAAUACAUUAUUUUUAGAAAAGGUGGAUCUAAAGAUAAAAAGUCAUUAUUAAGAAUAUUAUUUAUAAUAAAAUCUAUUUAAAAAUUUAUACAUAUGAAAGAAAGUAUUAAAAGAAAACGCAGAUAAAACAUAACUAAACACACAUAAACAAAUCAAAUCACAGUCAAAUAAAGAAGGAACAUUAUGAUAUCCCGUCAAGGGUCCAACCAUGCGACCACCCAAGCCAACAAAAUUAGUAUGCAAGUUUGGUGCCCCCUCUUUACCAAGCCACACACAAGGGCCCCACCAUUCCAACCGCCUACGUAGCACCACAACAGUGAUUACGUGGACCAUCGGAUUCAUGAUAAGAUCAGCCACUCCCUAUUAAUUAACAAGACCAUAAUCAUCUUUGCCCACCAACACUUCCCUUUACUGCACUGCAGCUGCGAAAGAGCCAAUGCUCGUGCACUCCCAAAAUAUUUCUCUGUUUCACAAAAUCACCUUUUCUGUUGUGGGAAACAUGAUCGCCGCAGUACGGCUGUUUGCGUUUGCCGGCCACCACCACCCCCACCCCCAGUGUUGCAGUUGCUUUCAGCCUUUCACCAUGCGGCGUGCGUUGGCCUCGCAUUCCUCUCGCUGCCUCGCGCGACAGAUUCCGGAAUCACUCCGUCAAUGAUUUUGAAUUCAAAUUUUUGUUUUCCUUUUUUUAUUUUCAUUUUUUACACCUGGCAAAUUAUAGCGCAGUACACCUGGUCGUUGUUUAUGGUGACAAAAUUUUGACAUUUUUUUUGUUGUCGCUCUAAUUAUUGGAAAAGGAAAAUUAUUAUUAUCCCUUGAAAAUGUAAAAUUUGACACUUACAAAAUUGGUACAUUAGGAUUUUUACUAGGUUUCCUUUGAAUCAAAAUAAGUUUCGUUUGACUUCAGAAAUGAGAGGUUUCCCUUAUUCCAUAAUAGUAGACGGAAUUGACAGGUUAGGCUCGCUAGAAUUUCAGACGGAAAAAUCAAUAUAGUCAAGUCUUUAGAAUUUCUGGCAAGUGUGAUCAACCACGCCUAAUAUUUGAGCGUUGACCCACACACUUGACAUCUGAGCAACAAAUUAGACACUAGAUUUCUAAAUGACGGACGAAACUCCAUUUAUAUCGAAAAGUCAAUGUUAAUUAAUUGUUACACACAAUUUCAAAUAUUGGCAGAUUAAAUGAACAAUCAGCUGCACGGUCCGAGAUUUUGGCACGUCAAUAGACAACACCAAUCAAUCGCCUUUAUCUGAUAUAAUUAUCCAAUUGCCCUAAGGGCAUUCAUUAUUACAAAAAAUGUUAGAGUGCAUAGUCAGCACUACAAUGACGAUACUAUCAAUUUUAUAUAAAUCCCCCAAAAAACAUAAGGUAAGAGAUUAUCUCAAAAAAGAAUUGUUAGAGUUAUCCUUAUUUUUUACUUAAGUUUAAAAGUGACGUGCCCGAACAACCUAUUCGGACAUCCUAUGCGGAGGGAAGAAGUCCUCCUAGCUCUAGUGAAGCUAUAUCGGACUGGUUGGCUCAACCCCAACACUUGACCGUAUAUUUUUUUUUUUGGCAAAAAUAAACUCCAACAAUGACAGCUGUAAUGAUCUUGGCCAAGAAGAAAGAUGACGCAUGCCGUGAGGUGUGUGUGUGGAGUUGCUGAGUUCCGUAAGAUGUGAGUAUACAAAUAUCCCGGCCAGCCAUGAAAGCGACUACGCCAUGACUCCUGUAUGACUGGUCCAGUCACCACGCUAGCAGACACCCAAUUUU
This 67785-nucleotide long non-coding RNA is filed under the name Vitis vinifera (wine grape). RNAcentral's name for it is "long non-coding RNA (VVIN_LNC001310)". Lineage: Eukaryota; Viridiplantae; Streptophyta; Magnoliopsida; Vitales; Vitaceae. The record is from RNAcentral.